AAACAAGAUAAUUCAGGAUAUAUGUAUUGUCAUAUAUUUUUUUUUUUUUUGAGAGAUAGGUAGCACGCUACCCGCUUCGUUUAUUUCAUUUGGAAAUAAACUCAGCUGGAAAUGUGAAUCAACUAUGAUUCGAACUUGAGUCUCGGGUACCAACCACCAAACCCUUUGCCACUUGCUCUAGGGACGAUCGGUAUGUAUUGUCAUAUAUUAAUAAGGAUAAUUCUAGGGCAUGUUUGGUUUAUUGUUUUCUCAUUCUGAAAUCGAAAUCGGAGUGGACGAAUCCGUUUGUCCGUAUUUGGUAUGCGGAAUUUUUAUUUCAAUCUCGAUUUUCGGGUGAACGAGAAUCCCCCAAUUACCUAUUUUUCUAAUCCGGCCUAGGAGGACGAAUUGGAAAUUGAAUCUGGGCGGAAUGGAUUUGUUCGGAUUAAAUUUAACUUCUUUAAGCUUAUUUUUUAAUUAAAACAUAAGUUUAAGUUUAAAAAUUAUAUUUAUAAAUUUUAAUUUUAAUUUGAAAUUAAAUUAAAAAUUAAAAUUCAAUCAAGAAUUUUAAAUCUAAUUUACAAAUUUGAUUUUAAAUUUAAAUUAAAUUUCAAAUCUAAAGUUUUAUUCAAAAUUUAUUUAAAAUUUAAAUUAAAUUUAUGGAUUCAAAUUGAAAUUUAAAUCAUAAUUUUAAGUUUGAAUUUGAAUAAAUUGAAAUUUAAUUUUAUAAUUUGAAUUAUCCAUUCAAUUUCAAAUUUUAAUUUUUUAAAAAAUAUAUAUAUUUAAAAUUUUUGACAUCAUUUUAAAAUUUUGACCUAUAUUUUUAAUAUUUAAUUUUUCAAUUUGAAUUUAAAUUAAUAUAUUAUAAAGAUAAAAUUUACAUAUUAAUUUGAUUACGUUUCUGAUAUCUAUCUAAACCAAUCGUCGACAAUGGGAAUGAUUCAUUCCGAUUCCGAUUGAGUUGACGAACCAAACAGAAUGAAGUAAUGAAUCAUUCUGAUUCCGUUUCCAGCUUAUUCUCAUUCCAAUUCUGAUACCGAUUCCGACUUCGAACCAAACACACUUCUAUAGUGUCUCUCCACCCAGCAAUUACACAACCCAAAACAACAGAAUAUUUUCAACAACCAAAAAGAUGAGCACCUAGUAUUGAUAGUACUAAUCCCAAGUGUGGCUCCCACCAGUACUCUCAACUAGAGGUGGCAAUCCAGCCGGCUAUUCACAAGCCAGCUCAUGUUCAGCUCGCAAUGAGCUCGAAAUCGAAUCGCUCGUUUAGUAAAUAAGCCGAACAUGAACUAAAUUUUUCAGCUCGUUUAAUAAACGAGCUAAACACGGGCUAAGAUCAGCUCACUCGUGUUCGACUCAAUAACAGCUCGAAUAUAUAUAUUUUAUAUUUAUAUAAUUUAUAUUUAUAUAUAUAAUACAGAUUUUUAUUAUUUUAUUUUUAGUCCAAUCUAAAUAUAAAAUCCAACUAAAUUAUAAAAAGGCUCAGUUAUAUGUAAAGUUUCAACCAUUAGAUCAAAGUCUAAUGGGGAAGAUCUCACAAAUUUAUUUUCUAUACAUACCCUUUCUAAUCUUUUUAACUUGUUGUUCGUGAGCUAGUUCGUGUUCGGCUCAUUAAUAAACGAGCCAAAUACGAGCUAAACUUUUCAACUCAAUACUUUAAUGAGCUAGCUCGUGUUCGGCUUAUCAUUCGAAAAUGAUUGUAUCUUGAAAAUGAUUGUACUCUCGAUCGGAAUGACCAUUCAAGAUAUCACAGAUCAAUUGAUGGCCAGUAAAACGUCUGGUACAACAUUGUCGUUUAUUAGAUGUAUUACUAUAUGUCAAAUAUCCUUGGUCAAUGAGCAAUACGAAUACGUGAUCCCAAUAGUCAUCAUCUUCAUCUAAUAUUGUCAUCAGAUUGCUUAUCACUGGUGAAGAAAACACAAUGGAAUAUAACGACUAACCCAUCACUGCUGUAAGGAUUUCAUAUUCAUCACCACAAUAUUAGAAUCAUUUAUACAAUUUCAUUGCAUGACAUGUAUUCACAAUACAUGUUGAAAAAAAUAUAUAAAUCACACAAUUAACAUGUAGUAAUAAAGUAAAUAAAACAUAAUAUAUGAACAUGAGCAUUCCUUACCAAUGCAAUCUACCUCAGUCAUCAUAGUAUGCGAAAGAUAAGCAUUACAUGGAAGUAAAGUCACGUACGAUUACAUACACAGUACUAAAUUAAAACAUAAUAUAGAUACAAAGAUUAAUGCUGAAAUAAGUAAACAUAAAUAGUAAGCACCGUCCACCAACAUUUCAGCCUUGUUCUACAAGCCAGGAAAAUAUUAUUUGUAUAAAAUAUUUUGAGCUGCAACUUGCCGGUCGACCCACAUGCAUGCUAGCUCAUCAUAAUAGUCAUAAAAACUUGACGAUUCUUGUUGUCUCUUAACGCAUCAUCCGCUACCAAAAUUCGCUCAUUUGUCAUCCGAGGGAGAUUAUACAUUCUUAUCAUGCAUGUUUCGAUUGUAGGGAUGCUUGCUCGAUUGCAGACCUCAGUAUGGUAAAUUUGUCGUACUAGAUCUAGUUUUUGUUUAUCAAGUUCUACCAUCUCUACUACCGCGUCACUCGUGGUAUUAUUUUUUUUGCGUCGUCCUCCAGAUGAUGAUGCUUGUUUCCGUGGAGGAUUGCAGGCUGUGGGGAACGAGGCUUUUUCCUACCAGAGGAGUGGCCAGAGCCACUAGCACUUGCUCGUGCAAUGGUGGGAAUAGCGGUAGGGCUAGGGGACCGUGAGAUAUCACUGCUUCUGAGAUUAACAUUGGAAGCCGAGCUAGAUGACCCUGCUUCGAAGGGUGUAGGUUCGAGAUUGAAUGCAAACACUCUCUCCAAUCAUACUUUCAUCCUCACCAGGAGACGAUAAGGAUGAGCUAUCUAUCGAAGGGGUUGCUAGCAUUCCUGACGAAAAAUCAUAUCUUCCUGUAGCCGUUGUCUUUGCAGUAAGGAACGCAAUGUCCUCAUAAGCUGGAAAGGGUUUAUCCCUACACUUUACAUACACUAGAUUCUCCUGAAUACAAGUUAUUAUAGUUAUGAAAAUAUAAGUAUGAUUCUUGUGUAAUAAUAAGUUGAAAUGAAAGUCGUUAAAUUGUACCGCUAUUAUUGCAUCCCAGUCACUUGGAUCACCAACCAUAGGAAUGUUCUGGACAUAAUCCCAUCCCCACCCGCUCUUAUCUGCAUGAUAGUUGUACAAUAUAAAAGUUCUCUUUAAAACUUUAAGCCGAUUCUUUAUUUGCUCCCUGGUCAAGUUUAUAUUGGUCCUACAGUUGAAAUCAGUUAUUAUCCUAGUCUACGCAACGUUUGUGAAUGACCCAUUGGUGUAGUUUCCUAAAGCGUGUUCUUCUAUCAACAGACUUAGCAUGCUUGCAUCCAUACUGUCGGUUCAAUUUGGAGUUCGCUUUCAUGAUUGGUUAUACAAUCUGCUACUACCAUCAAUCUGUAUAUUUUCCAUUGGUGUGGUUUCAAUCACCACACCUUUCUUAUGAGCAGACUUAGAUGGUUUCUUGACAUGAGGCAUCUGUGGUUCAAGCAAAUAGCAGUUCACCAAAACCAUUCAUGUGGAUUGACACAAUCAAGCAUGUGUACGCGGCAAGCUCACAACAUCAGACAUACAUUACAGCCAAGAAGCUAAUAAAGAUGGCGAGGGAACUGUACAUAAUGUAGCAGCUAAGCAUAUAUAUGUUUGAGUAUGUCCAAACACUUGCACGACUAUUUCCAAAACUGAAGUAUUAGCAACUUAUUACAAUGAAAUACAAGUGUGUCUGCCGCGAACGAACCGGCCCCGCCGUAGGGUGUUUCUAGGACGAGUGGUCAUGCAUGGUAGAAGUUAAGUUUGUUUAUGUUUUAUUUUGAAAUCAGGAUUAUAGGUUCAUGGCUUCCAACAGACUCAAGAAUCUGCUAUUAAUUACCACACACUUUCGGUGUUAAGGAACUCUCGAUUAAGAGACCAAAUAUAAAUGCUGAUAACAAAGGAGACAAAACAGGCAAAUAAAAUUUUAUUCAUAUAAUUUGCCGUAUACAUUGCUUAAGCAGGGGCAUACCCCCACUGUACAUGAAUUGAAUCCUAAGUAUAUGUAUUAGGAUUCAGUUGGAUUUGAGAUUGACUAGGUCCUAAGUAUAUGUGUUAAGACCUAGUCAAUAUUAGACUCUAUGUAUUAGAGUCUAAUUGGCUCUAAGUAUAUGUUUUAGAGUCCGAUUAUAUUCACCUUAGUUGUAUGUUCCAAGUUAGAGAUGUGACCAGACCUCAAGUAUAUGCAUUGAAGUGGGUCAAAUUACUCGAAAAUAGAGAGUGGCUAAUUCUUGAGUAUAUGUAUCAGGAUUAACCGAGUUUAAUAUAUUUUCACUCUAGUUAUAUGUGCUAGAAUGAAGAUCUGACUAUGCCCUAAGUAUAUGUAUUAGGGGUAGUCGGAUUUGAUUUGUAUGAGCUCCAAGUAUAUGUAUUAGAGCUCGAUCAGGUAUGAAUUUCACUCUAAGUAUAUGUGCUAGAGCAAAAGGCUGACUAGACCCUAAGUAUAUGGGUUAGGACUAGUCAAGCACGGUUUGACUUCCAUUCUAGGUAUAUGUGCUAGAGCAAAAUAUUGACUAGACCCUAAGGAUAUGUGUCAGGAUUAGUCGGAUGAACUCUAAGUAUAUGUAUUAGAGUUCGAAUGAACUUGACAUCAUUUGACUGAAUUCUAAGUAUAUGACUUAAAACUCUAUCCAUUUAGAGAUAUUUUCCCUUAGUUAUAUGUACUAAGGUGAUUGACUUAGCCCUAAGUAUAUAUAUUAGGAGUAGUCGAUAUUUAAUUUUCACUCUAACUAUAUGUGCUAGAGUAAAAAAGGUUCAUGAUGAACUUAGAUUUAGUUUAACGACGUUUCGGUCGUUUGGAUUUGGGUUUAGUUUGACAACGUUUCGGUCGUUGGGUUUGGGUUUAGUUUAACGACGUUUCGGUCGUUUGGGUUUGGGUUUAGUUUAACGACGUUUCGGUCAUUUGAAUUUGGGUUUAGUUUAGCGACGUUUCGGUCGUUUGAGUUUGGGUUAUUUAGUUUAACGACUUUGCGGUCGUUUGAAUUUGGGUUUAGUUUAGCGACAUUUCGGUCGUUUGAUUUUGGGUUGUUUAGUUUAACGACUUUGCGGUCGUUUGAAUUUGGAUUUAGUUUAACGACGUUUCAGUCGUUUGAGUUUGGGUUUAGCUUAAUGACGUUUUGAUUGUUUGAAUCGAGAUGUUCAUGAAACUGAUUCAUGAAAUUAAUUCAUGCUAGGAGCCCGUUUGUAAAGUCCAUUGAAUUGAUGAAAUUAAUUCAUGAUAGGGGCCAUUUGGAGAACCCAUUGAAUUAAUUUAUGAUAAGGAGCCAUUUGGAGGGCCCAUUAAUUCAUAAAAUUAAUCUAUGACAAGGAGGGCCCAUGAAAUUAAUUCAUAGAAUUAAUCCGUGAUAAAGGGCCUCUUUGGCAAACCCAUGAAAUUAAUUUGUCAAAUUAAUUCAUGAUAGGGGCCUUUGGAAAGCCCAGGAAAUUGAUUCAUAGAAUUAAUUCAUAAUAAAGGGCCCAUUUAGAUAGCCCAUGAAUUCGGUUUGGGUUGGAGAUAUUUGGAUGACAUAAAUUUAGUUGGAUUUUAUUUAUGGACUUUGGAUCUUGGAUCUUUGGGUUUUGGGUUUUGGGUUUUGGACUUUAUUUGUGGACUUUGGGUUUUGGGAUUUUAUUUGUGGACUUUGGGUUUAGGAUUUUAUUUGUGGACUUUGGAUUUUGGAAUUUUGUUUGUGAACUUUGGGUUUUGGGUUAAGAAAUGAAUUUUUAUUUAUUCUGGGCCCACAUCUACAUAUGGGUUGAGAUGUGCUGCGGGCUUUACAUGUUCUGGGCCCGAACCUGUAUGUGGGCUGGACUUUUAUUGAUUUUGAAUUUAAAUCUGCACAUGGACUGGAUUUCGGGCUUUACAUGUCUUGGGCUUUGAACCCGAAUCUGCAUGUGGACUGAAAUCAGUCUUGGACUUUACAUGGUCUGGGCCCAAAUCUGCAUGUGGGCUGAGACGAAUUUCGUGCUUUAAUGCUCUGGACCUUAGACCCGGAUAUGUACGUGGGCUGGAUUUCGGGCUCUACAGGUUAUGGGCCUGAAUUUGCAUGUGGGUUUGAUGCUUUAUUAUUAUUUUUUUUUUUACUGCUUAUCGAGUUUUUUCAUUGGGCCCAUGAUUAAGUAAUGAAUUGGAUCAUUUUCAAAUUAAAUAGCCCAAAUCCAUUCCCUCAACAACUCUGUAUUUUUUUUUUUUAUUUCUUUUCUUUUCUUUUCUUUCUUUUUUUUUUUGUUGACUAUAAGAGAGAGAGAGAGAGAGAUCCAACCAUAGUUAGUUCAUUCGGAUUCGGCAAAAAUUCGGUACAGGUAUAAUUCGGAUAAAAUUCGUCUUCGAAUUUUUAAAUUCGUUGAAAAAUACGGCUAAAAAACGGAUUUAUCAAUUAUUCGGAUACGUGAUUUAUACGGAUAUUAUACGUUUACUAAUUAAAAAUUCGGGAUAAAAAAUUCGGCUAUUAAAUUAAAUUUUUUUCUCUCAAGAUUUAUGCUAUUAGCAUAAAUAUUCAUAUCUUUUAAAAAUANUAGGUGCAAUGUAGAUAUCAGCAACAUGGUUAGACCGGUUAAAUUGGAUAACCCCUAAAUUGGACCAUUUUUUGUGUUUGUGUGUUUUGCUGUUUUCUUCUCUUUUUUUUUGGUCCAAAUAAACGAAGUUGAUCACGUCGAGCCAUACAAUCGGAUCGAACAAAGAUGGCGAAUCGAAACAGAACCUGUCCAUUUUUUUUAUUAUUAUUUAUUUUAUCACGUUUUGUUCAAGUGUGCGGGAUUUAAUCAUGUCGAACCUAUCACGAAGAUGGCCGCUUGAUUAAUUUUUUUGACCAUGUCGAGCCUAUCACGAAGAUGGCCGCACGAUUUUCGUAGCAAAAUAUCCGAUAUUCGAUUGAUAAUUUCGACCAUGUCGAGCCUAUCGCGAAGAUGGCCGCACGAUUUCGUAGCAAAAUAUCCGAUGUUCGAUUAAUAAUUUCGACCAUGUCGAGCCUAUCGCGAAGAUGGCCACACGGUUUAGAUAAUAAAAUAUCCGGUGCUUGUUCGACCAUGUCGAGCCUAUCACGAAGAUGGCCGCACGGUUUAGAGAUUAGCGAUGCAUACAUAAGACGGAAGCGACGAUUUGAUGUCAGAUUUGAUCGGUUCGAAACCUAUCACGAAGAUGGUCGGAUUGAUCAAACCAACAAAAACCGCACUUACGCUUUUCAUAUACAUGCACAUCUCUUGUUGUCGUAGAAGUCAUUGCAGUUGUCGUUGUCGCGGAAGUCCUUUUUUUUGUGGUACGGACGAAAAGUGGAGGGGUGCAAAUGGCACCCCUCCUCUGCCAGCAAGACCAAAAGGGGCUCCUCCCUUGGUACUUGCACACGAGAGAGAGAGAGAGAGAGAGAGCAGACCCAUAGUGCCCUCCUAGCUCGGGUAAGAGCCACAUUCAUGCGUCGUAUAUCAGCAACAAAUCCCACUCCAUGGUUUGAGGCACGAACGCACGACAUAAUGAUGACAUCACGUUCCUGGCCUUGGAAAGCAUCAACAGUGUUUAUGUAAAUAUCCUUCCCCUCCUCUGAAUUCAAAACAUCCUCAAACUCUCGCUGAAGACACUUUAGUUGCAGUUUGUAUGGUGUAAUAAUGCCAACAGACACUUUUUUCCCACCAUUGGCUUUUAAAAACUUCUGGAGGUGCUCGUACAACCGCAAAGUGAACUGUGCUUCAUGAAUAUUCUGGUAUGAGACUGAUCCCCCUCUGUGGGAUUCCCGACCAUGUACAACGUCAUAAAAUACAUAAGGCUUCAAUAAAGCAUCUCUAUAGUAGGCUUCCUCUGGCGAGUUGGCAACACUUUCGCUAUCCGUAAGGCGACCUUGAUAGAAAUAUCUNGUGUCUUCUCCCUUUUUUUUUUUUUAACUCCAACAAAGUGAAGCCAUAUGACAACUAUAACUGAUUACAUAUGAAAGAUGCACCUGAAAGAGAUUAUAAUGAAGCAGAACUCUUCAUCUUAUAGUGUGAUUUUGGAUCAUGCGGCUCAAAGUGGUUUUCAAGGAGCAUGGGGUUGUGUUGAUUUCUAGAUCCAUGCCAUCCAUCUAAUGCUUUUGAAAACCGUCAUCAUCGUCAAAAUCAUCUUUCGCAUCGUUCAUUGCCAUACAAAAUACUGUGUUCAAUUCCUCUCUAUAUCUUACUUUCCGGCAAUCAUAUACAUCAUAGUUAAAAUCCAAGGUUCACAAUAUUAGGGACGACAUAGAGUCAUCAUGAAUGAAGAUCAGAUAUGGUGCCAUAGAAUAUUGUCAUGCAAAUCAGUAUGUAAUAUAUCCUCCAAACAUAAAAGGUUAGAGAUGUAAUAUAUCCUCCAAACAUAAAAGGUUAGAGCAAACUCGGAUGUAAGAGUAAUGAAACCUGGGUAAAACCAACCCUUAUAGCGGAUUGGGAACACCUUAAACAGGGAGGCUGUCUGCGACCACGAAUAAUGCACCUUGCACGGUUAAUCUUAUUUAGAUUUCCCGUGGAGUAGUAUUCAUGAUUCAGAUUAAUAUUUAAGUAUAUAUGGUUAUCAAGUAUUGUAGACUUAUAGCUUCCAAUAAACGCAAGCGUCUAUUAUUAAUUACCCCUAUAAAAUGUUAGGACACCUUGGAUUAAGAGACUUCUGAAAUAUCAAAAUAGACUGAAAUUGAAUAAAAGAUGAAUUUUAUAAUACAACCCGUUGUAUAGUUACAUAGCUUAACCAGAGGCAUACCCCCAGCAUACAUGAAUAUACUAUAACAUAAAAGAGAAAAUGACGAUCGAUUGAAAUUUGGAUUACACCUUAGUUAUAUAUUUGACUGGGCUCUGAAUAUAUAUUUUAGAGCUCAAUAUAACCACCCUAAGGUGCAGAAUUAACUAAAUCCCAACUGUAUGUAUUAUGACUUAGUCGGAUUUGAAUCGACUAGGCUCUAAUUAUAUUUAUAUAUUAGAGUCCAAUCAGGUUUAAAUUCACCCUAAGAUGAAGUAUGGCUAAAUUCUAAAUGUAUGUAUUAGGCUUAGCUGAAUUUGAUUUAGAUCGACUCUAAUUUUACAUAUUAGAGUCUAAUUGAUUUAGUUGAACUCUAAGUACGUGUAUUAGAGUCCAAUCAUAUUUGAGUUCACCUAAGGUGGAGGAUUGCUAAAUCCUAAAUGUAUAUGUAUUAGGAUUUAGCCAGUUUUGAUUUAGAUUAAAUUCUAAUUAUACAUAUUAGAGUCUAAUUGAUUUAAUUAAACUCUAAGUACGUGUAUUAGAGUCCAAUCAAAUUAUUUUGCUUUAGUGGAAUUUAAUUUAUUAUUCUCUUAUCUUAGUCAAAUGUACUAAGAAAAAGGAUAGUUUGAUUAAUUCAUAUAUGUUAGACUUCAAUUGAGGUUUAAUGCAAUGGCGAUGUGACUCUAGUUUCAUUUGUUAGAGAAUUGGGUUGAAAUAAUUUGUUUCUAAGUACCUGAUGGAAGAAGAGGUUGCAUUAGGUUGUGCAACAUUUGAAUUGGGUUAAACUGGAAUUUUGAUUUGAUUUGGGUUUGAGGUUAGGUUUGGGCUUUGAAUUGGUUAUUAUGGUGUAGGUUUCAUAUAAGGCCUGUCAAAUUUGGAGUGGAUUGGAAUUACUUUUCCCAUUCAAUGGCUUUAAAACUUUAUUACAAUAUUAGAGAAAACAAGGUUACUAUAUACUUGUAUCAGAAAGCUCGAGCAUUCUCCAACACAUCCAAUUUCAAUUGUUUCACGCUAUCCAACAAUUAAAUGCCUCAUAUAAACAUAAAAAUAACACAUCAAUUGGAAGCAGUUUGUUCUAAUUUGAGUGCAAAUCAAGUAAAAGUCCAGUGAAUCAUCUACUGAAAAUAAUCACAAAUGGCAUCAUCUAGAAUAUUUAGUAAAUCAAACAAAAUUCACCAAUCGUGAAGCUGGCCUCUUUGUUCGUUUAGCAACAUGACAAAUUUGAAAGAACAUUUAAACAAAUUUCUAAUAUCCACAAAUUAAAUCUUCAAACUUGAUGCAUGCUCUGUAUCUGUGAAUACAACACAUGCAUACUUUGCAUUAACAAUCUUGGAAAUCACACGGCUGAAUAAAAUUAUCUGAUUGCUCUCCUUUGCUUUUAACUGUGAACUAUUUAAGUGGAGAUGUAAUUCAUGGUAUGAAUAUUACAACAAAGAUCAACAACAGAUCAAAAAAUAACACGAGACAAAAAAAAAAAAAAAAAAAAAAAAAAAAAAAAGGGUUACAGAGCAAACAUUUUCACCCUGCGGCAAAGUAAUUACUACACUACUCACAGGAGCAUAUAACUACAAUCCCACCUGUAACUCAUACCAAUUCCAUCAGAAGGGGGUCUCCAGAAGCCAUGACUCUAAUUAGCUUUAUGAAAUCCAACUCAUUCUGCACCUUUACGGGAUACACUGCGGGCGCUUGAGCUGUAUAAAUAGCUGAGAAAGACUCAUUAGCCAGCAAAUUUGUCCUAUAAACUGCCUUUGCCAAAGCAUCAGAGUCGAUAUUUUGAUCCGAAUCCAUUGCCAGAAAAAACAUUGGAACUGCAAUCUUGUGAUGAAUGUCGACAUCCCCAACUAGACCGACAAGGUCAGAGAAGUCACCAACGAAUCUUCGAGGAAUGUAGAAAAGUUCGCUGCUGCAAUAUAUGAGCUUAUCUUCGCCCAUGGUUUCUUUGUAACUGACCUGGAAGUGUACGGGGAAGUUGCCCACGACUUUCUUUACGAGGUCCCCUUGCUUUGCAAACCAAUCAGAUCUGUCACUGCCAUUUAGUGGAACAGUAAUCCAAGAUUGCGUGACCUGGAGAAAAAGGAUAAUUAGAUGAUGGCGUAUUGUACCAGGAAUAAAGAAAAUUUUUAAGUAGAAGAAAUAAAAUGUAAGUUACAAUACUAUGAUGCAUACCUUCUUGGUUAUCCACAGCUUAUUCUUGUCAGCUUGUAGAAGAUUCCAAUAGUUUAUGAUUAUAUCAUCUUGAAGGAACAAGAAUCCUUCUGCGCCAGUGAAUUGAUCAAACACCUUGGGCAGGAACCUUUAAUACAAACAUAGCAGGUUUUAGUUGUAGUGAAGCAGAUCUCAACACAGAACGUAAUUAUGUAUCAAUUACAACAGUUUAGCUGUAAAACAAUUUCUUUUAUUCUUGGUCCAUCAGAAGCUAGAUUAAAAAAAAUUAAAAAUAUUUAGAAUGAUUACUGAUAGAUCACAUUUAGAAAACAACAAAUACGUAUACAUCUUUUGCAAUAUCAUGCCAGAAACAUAUGAUCUUUGACAUCAAAAUUAUCAAAUGACACAUGACAAGCGAUCAACCGACUUAUCCUAAGACCAAAAACAAGAGGAACGUCAAGCAUUAUUGGCUGAAUCAAAAAACAAAGUAGGGGAAAACUUCUGAAUCCCAAAAUUGAAAAGUCAACCAGAACUUUUGUUCCACUGACAUUGCAGAGAAUGGUAACUAAAAAUUAACAAGAUUUGCAUACAUCCUAGCCAAUAUGAGCACCUAAUUUGACCCAUUGACUGUCAAUUUGAACGGAUAUUCAGCCCAAUAUGAAUGACCUUCUCAUGAUGUAUCAGUCAUCCAUAUUAUUAGAAGCAGCAGUGAAGUAGGCCUAAAGUAGCUGUAAUGUAGUCAACAAACUUUAUAUUGCGUUUAAAUGUUAUCCGUCGGACCAUCACAUUUCAUCUUCACCGAAACCACCCAAUUGAACAGCUCAUCGUUUUGCUUCGUAGUUGUCAUCCACCAGCUGAUCUAAAUGCAUAUUGGUCAGAAGCAAAAAGAGAACACUUAUUGGUUCAAGUUCCUUCACCAACUUCACCUGAAUGCUAUAUAGCCCGCUUAUAGGGACAUCUACAGGAAUUUUUAGCUUCGGGAACAUGAAUGCCAGCUAAUCUGAUAUUCUGCCUAUUAUAUUGUACUUUGAAGCUUGCAUGGCAAUCAAGGUUGUAAAUAGCGGAUAGCGGGUACAUAGCGUUUGGAGAGUCUCAUAGCGGAAAGCGGAUAGCGGGUGCUACAGCAGGCGCUAUGAAUCCAUAGCGGGUUUCAUAAAAGCAAAUUUAAUAUGUUUAUACUCCUUAUAAAAAUACAUAUAAUUUUGAAGAAAAGACAACUAAUUAUUCUCUUUUUUUUUCCGUAUUGCAAGCCUACAUAUAUUUAAUAUCAUUAUCUAUUAAGAAUUUAAGAUUAACUUUAUUUAGCAAACCAAAAAGACAAAAUUUGAAAAUUUAUAAUCCAUUAACAAUCUAAACAAUUUGUAGAUGGAUGUCAAAAAGGAUAUCUUAGGUAAAUAGUUAUCUUCCAAACCCUUAGAAACAGGGUUUGAUAUUUAUAUUUCAUUUAAGAAUCCAACCCGAUAAGCUAUUUUAACUCGUUUGCACUUUUUAAAAGUUUGGGCUCACAGCGCCUCGCUUUCCAACCGCUUUAUAGCGGCUGCUUUAGCGGGCCCUCUGCCGCUAAAGCGGCCGCUAUGAACCCGAUCUGCUAUAUACCGCUUUACAUAUUUUAGCAUAGCGGUAGCACAUAAAAUCCGCUAUAGCGGCCGCUAUCCGCUAUAGCGGCCGCUAUGGCAGGCAUAGCAGCCGCUAUUUAAAACACUGAUGGCAACAGCUUUUCCCCGAACUGUUUUGCAGAUCUAUACUCAAUAGUAUUCUAAAAAGGAUUUGGGGCAACCACAAAGUGGUUGGCCACUUGAUCAACCAUAAUACUUUGCCUUUGGAGCUAUCUAAGAAAUCAGUCAACUAGUCAAUCCAACUGAUAAAGAUGUUUCUGCUAAUAGUGUUUUUGGCAUGUUUCAAAGAAAAGAGCCUAGAAGUUAACUUAAGAUUCUACACUUCAUUUGUCCAUAUUGUAUGGCAAAACCUCAACCCAAGUCUUACGAAGAUAGUCAAGGCUAGACUUUCUAACCCUCGAAGAAGAUCAUCAAAAAACUAGAUGGAUUAGAACAGACGAGUAUAAGAACUUCCUCUCGAAUCCUGAAUGCCUAGAGUGCCCUCAUACUAAGAAGGAAAGGGCAUCCCAAAGCUCUAGAUAUUAGUUGAUCACCGAAGAUAACGACCUUCUAAUUGUUCAAAAGUUUAUUCUACCAGUGCAUGCAGUUAUCAUCAUAAGAAUAUGACAUGUCAAAGUGCAACUGAUUAUCCUUUCAGAUCAAACUUCUUGAUCCUAUAAUUGUUUAUUAGUUAUUCUAAGUCAAAUAUCAAAAGGUGUGGCGAAAAAUCCAAAAAAUCCAUGACCAAACCAGAAUAGUAAGAAGAAAUCUAAUAUUACAUAAGGACUAGAAGGAAAUUAAUUUAGCUGAACUUUUUCAUUUGGAUUCUCUCUUUUGAUGGUUUAAGUACGUCAAAUAGUGAACUAUGACGGCUUAUCUGUUUAUGCAAAAUUUAGUGAAAAUGGAGUUAUCAUAUCAAUUCCAGAAUGUUAAAGACCAGCUCAUAGACUUGACAAAGGAGUGAAGUAGAAGAAGCCAGGAGAAGACAUUGUGAAGCACUGGGUUGCGCUGAGGAAUUGGAAGAUAGCAUCUCAUCUGAUUCAUAGAAGAAAAAAAGGAAAGUGAACAAGAAGGGAUAGUAAAUCUUCAAUAUGUCAUGCUUUGCCCUCAAGAAUCCAAUUGAACUAAAGUAGGCAUAUUUUAACAACCCAAAGAAGUAACAUUAAAGUCAGACGACAUGUUUGCCACUUGCAAGUAGGAAUGCAAACAUUCAAACAAAUAGGCUACCUAAUAAUGUCACACUUUUCGGAAUGAAGGACAAUCCUUCAGAAGUCCUAAUAAAUGUAAAAACAUCGUGACAAAAUUUUUGAGAUGCAGAUGCGUCAAUCAAGCCAAUAUGCAUGAAGCUCUGAGAUCUGAUUUUAAGGGAAGAAAACAAAUGUGAAAGGAAAUACAUAGAAAAACCAUAAUGCCUAGAAAAGUAUGCAAGUAGCCUCAUGAAUCUGUAUAGUAUAACAUACAAUAUGCAAACAUCAAUGCUGAGUAUUGAUCUAAACUUAAAUUUUUGGUUGCAAUUAGUAGAAGGCAUGACAGAGGACCUGCUAAGGCAUUAAUUGCGGAUCAAAAUUUAUGUGAGCUGAAGCUGCAGCAUGGCAUUGAUAAUAUGUCUCACAAAAAUAUCAAAGAUUCACUUACGAUCACGAUCACACUUGAAAAUAUUUACAUGAAAAUCUAAACUGAUCUCUGAAAGGUUUGUUAGAAGAAACUGUCAGCUGAAAAUAAAUCUUAGAAAAACUAUAAGAGACUGCACAGUGAAUAAUGCUGUAGCAUACCACUGUAGCAGUACUCUUCAAAGUAUUGGAUCUAGGAUCCUCAUAUAGCUGAGACCUUACCCUUCCUGGCAGCUCACGCAUAAGGAAAGAUGAAUGCACCUUGCCUUACAUCCAAACAGAACACAUCAGCAGGUAUAGCUAUACGUGGGACUUCAGUCCUUAAGUAACCUAACUUUGGCAAUUCAUCGUUUGGUAAGUUCCUAAAUUACCCAAAAUAUGAAACCAGCCCCUGAUUGUUAUAAUUUGGUCAAACUCAACUGAGCUUGACUGAACACUCCGCAAAACUAGAAAACAAAUCCCAAGUGACUGAAGUAAUAUUGAAAUAUCCUGGUCUAUCAAUUAUGCUCAUCCAAUUAAAUCCAUAAGCUCUAUUGUCGCUGACGUCAGCCUUCUAUGUUUAGGUACAAUCCAAAAGAAAAUUUUGUAAUGCAAAAUAGAUAAGCCUUAUCCAACUAUAAGAUCCAAUCUGAAGGACACCUAACAAAACCAAAACCAUCAUAAAGCCCAAAAGAAAUCAUGCCAAAAGAAAGAAAAUUAAUCCAAGUCCAUAUAUACAAAAGACAAAUCAUGAAAUUAUAGUUCAAUGAAUUACUCAAAAUGUAUAUCUUUAAGCUAAACCAACAACAUCAAGAAAUUUAAGAAGACAUUCAAAGAACUAGUGAGUUCACAAAUAAGCAUUAAAGUCACUAUGAGGUGAAAAAACCAUAUGUGAUGUAUUUACAGUGGAACCAGUUUCCCUACUGGGUCCUCUCGACGUAUAUAAGUAUAUAACAAACCUCCUGCAAAUGAUAUACUAUAGCUCUCCACAGGUUUCACAGGUUCCUACUUACAUGUACUUUCUAGUCCCAGCCUUUCGCUCAUCGAUCCAAGUUCUACUAACGUACAGAUCACCCUUGUUAACAACCAUGUGAAUGCUGAAAACAUCCUCAACUUUAAUGGAUCUCUGAAUACAGACACGAGUUGCACAAAAUGGUCUUUCAAUAGAGAAGAAUCACUAAGGAGAAUUCACUAAGUGAUAGCAGUAAUUUCAGUAUCUCUAUGUGCAUCCAAUUUCAUGAUGAAUAAAUAGACAAUGCAGUAGAUAAUGUGGAACUUAAAAUUAAUCAGAAGCGUCAAAUCAUUGAAUCUGCAAAGUUUGGUGAUUACAAUUUUAAUCUAAUGAAAUAAACAUUGAUAUCAUGUAGUUGCAAGCAGCAAUUUGUGACUGUUAAAAAGUACCAUAUUGCAAACAGAGACGUCUAAUUAGAAAAGUAACUCACUUGUAUGCUUGUGCUAAGUGGCCAUAUUCCACAGCAAGAUCUGAAUUGCUCUGUUCUGCCAUAAUGACCACCGUCUUGAAGAUCCGGCCGUAGAGCAACCUCCACUCAAGCGCAGUCCGAUCCACAGGCCCACUGCAAUGCAUGAUCAGCACGACGUUUCCGAAGUGCUUCCUCCACCUAAUCAGAUUCCCAAUCUCAUAGUUCACCGUUCCAGUCUCCUCCACGCCAAGAUGGACCGAGGGCAACUUCUUGGGGACAAACUCCCUCCGAUCUCCGUGCCCGAUGGUCGCCCUCGGCCGAUCAAUCUCCAACGACAUCAGCCUCGGCUGCCGAUAUCCAACCGAGAGCAGGUCCUGCAGCCAAGCCGCCGUGAACUUCACAUCCUGCUCCCCCCAGAAGCCCUCCUCCGCCAUCGCAUAGCUUAGAUGAAGUAUCCGCUCAAACAGCGUCUGCUUGUUGGAUCUCCACGAGAUGAGGAACUUGAUAAGACGGCCGACAUUGACAUGGAGGUCCUUCUCCUCUGCGAAGGGGUAGGACUCCGUCUUAUCCAUUCGGUGGAUUGUUGGAGGAUAAACAGCAACGAAGCCGCCGAUCUCCCACAGGAUCCUCUGCGCCCAGUAGCCUCUGAUCACGUCGGACGCCAUGGAGCUGACGGAGACAGGGAGCAUGAGGCCCCAGAAGGCCUGCGUGUGGAAGAUCGUAUUGAACGAAUUCACGGGAACCAUGAGGCCCUGGGGCAGGGCAACCUUGGGCGCAUCCUCAUCGAACCGGAUGUCGAAGCCCUCCAGCCCAGAGGACUUUCGGGUGAAGUAGAAUACGGAGUCGAUAUCGGGCAGGCCGUUGGACAGGCCCUGCUGGAUGAACUGCCGGCCGCUGAACACCUCGGUGUAGAACUCCUCGUGGGCAACCUCGCCGACGUUCUCAAGCGGCAGGCCGCGGGGCCACACGGAGCGCUGGCCGAAGUGGAUGUACGGGUUGACGACGGUGCGGUUGGGAUUGGCGUGGCUGUACUGGAGCAGAACGGGGUGCCUGGCGGCGGUGGCCUCGCCGACGAGGUCGACGUCGAAGUGCUUACCGAGGUCGUCGCUCAGGACCUCGGCGCGGGCGUCGGCGUCGAAUAUGAUCUUGGCGCCGUGCUGGAUGGCGAAGAGGUAGCCGGCGGUCUUGCGAGCGAGGGGGGAGGAGUAGGGCAGGAAGUCGAGGGAUCGGAAGCCGAGCAGGGCCUGCCGGUCGAGGGAGAGGAAGAUGGCGCCCUUGAGGGACCAGCCGGCGGGGGUGCGGGAGUCGCCGACGGCGAGGAGCUGCCAGCCCUUGGUGCGGGCGAGGGCGCGGAGGGCGCCGGUCGGCCGGGACGACGAGGCGGCAACGACGAUCCAGCGCUCGGAGCGGAAGGAGGCGUAGCGAUCGGAACCGCCGAGGGGCCGGACGGGCGGGACGGCGGCCCAGUCGAUCCGGGGGUAGGGGGCGCGGCUGCCGGCGGUUCGCGAAGCGGAGAGGGUCUUGUCGAGGCAGAGCAGCGCAGCGGUGUCGCCGGCGCUGCGGAGGAAGAAGAGGGCGGCGACGGUGGCUGCGAGGACCAGGACAGCCAGGAUCUUGUAGAAGUUCUCCGAGGCCCAGGUGGAGAAAUCCAGGUUCUUCGCGAAGCGCUGGUGAUGCCGAGGAGAAGCUGGAGAUGCAGGCGACGAGGGCUUGGGAGCGGCCCGAUCUUGGACCAGCAUUUCUAGAUUUAUUCUAAAUCUAGGGCGAUCCAAAGAAAAUGGAGCACUCCGCGAUCAAGAGUGGCGGUGUUGUUGUUGUUGUUGUUGUUGUUGUUGUUGUUGUUUUCCUUUGUUAACAAGCUCGCUCUCACCUUCUGUCGGUGUGGGUAAUAAUUCUUGGUAUUAAGGAGGAAGGAGGAGGAGGAGGUGUGAGUGUAGCGGUUGGUGGGAAGGCCCCUCUUUCUUUCAGUUGAGGUUUCGCUUUCUUUCUUUAUCCCCCUCUCUCUUGGCGGUAUGCUAUGUGUUCAUUGUGGGUUACUCCAAGUCCAACUCCUCCGUUUGCAGCAACAGCUCCUCCCUCUCCAGCGGCCAGAUGAGGAAACAGAGAGCAUGAAGAAUUAGAUUCGAUAUUUUCUGAUUUAUAUAAAAAAAAAAAAAAAUUCUCUUAUUUGUGUUCCUAAUUUACAGAGCAUGUGCGCUCUAUUUGCGGGUGUUGAGAAGAAGGGCAGAGCACUGCUGCAGCUCAGCAAGUCAACUGCAAGCCGCUUCGAGAAGUGUCGGUGUGGCGAUCUCAAUCGUGUGGGUGCGGAAGUAUCGGUUAUCGGGUCGGAUUCACAUCUAGAAUCGAUGGGCUGGGAAGAAAUAUAUCUUUUUUUGGGAUUGCCAAGAGUGUGCACUGUGUAUGGUAGAAAAACGCGCAGUAAAAAAAAUUUUAGACUACAGUAAAAACUUUUUUUGUCCUUUCACGUGUCUCAAUUACCAAUAUUAAAGUAUAUAUAUUAUGUCGUAGCCGAUAUAACUGGAGUGGUGAUACAAUAGCUUCAUCAGAUCUUAAAAUAGCUUCUCCUCUCUUGUGUCGCUGCAACACCUAACAUCCUAACCCAUGAUUCACCAUCCAAUAAGGUACACCAUAUGAUGAGUGCGGUAACAUUGCAUCUUCUUUGCACCACGAUGAUAAAGAAAUUGCGGGCUAAUCCCACUUUAUUUUGCUAACUAUAAUGUACUGAAAUUCAGUAUAAUAUACCAAACUUUAACCAAAUUAGAAAUGUGAAGAUUAAAAUCAUAUUAAACAUGAUUAAAAUAGGUUUGGAGAAAUUUGGGCCGUGUUUGAAACGAGUUAGAAUCAAUUCAUCAAAACGGAGCUUUGAAAGAAGUAAAAAUUUGACGCCCGAAAAAGUAUUUCGCAUAGCCAAAAUCUUUCGAAUCAUCCGACCAAGUGCCCGAUUCUAGCAAAUGCUCUACCGCAAGCAAGGGUUUUGUCACGCCCCGGGACUAGACGGAGGCCCGCCCGGUGCGUGUCCAGACCCGCCAUAUGUCUGCACAUAUAAGGCGUCUACAAUAAGGCGAUAUAAAUAAUAAUAAUAAGCAAAUAUCUAGAGAUAUCAGAGUAAGUAGCAGCUAAAUUCUAACAACAAGUAGAAUGAAAGAACACUAAACCAGUAUGAUAAAACAUAGAGUGAUACAUCGUAAUGUCUCUGUUGAGCGAAUUAGGUGCGGACAGGUGGUACGCCGGUAUUCCCUUCAAAGGCAUCAAUCUGGCCGUGCACCAGGAGCACCGGAAAAGUUUUAAAGUAAACCGUCGCGCCAAUUGAAGGAAGUUACAAUAACUGCAUGCGGUUCCGAUUGGCUGGAGGUGGUCCUGGAUAUUAGGAGAUAGUUGGCGAUCGUGUAAGAGCAAUAAUUGAUCACGGGGCGAUCUAUAAAUAGAUCAACAACGCCCUAAAAAAGGGUCUUUUCUCCUGUGAACAAAAGGCCACCCUUAAUUCCUCGCAAUUUUUUGCAUUUUCUAGGAGUAGUCUACUUGUAACUUUUCUCUUCCAGUAUUUACUGUUCUUUCUAGGAGUAGUCCGCAAAGUAGAUCAACCGAGUUGCAUGCCAUCCGGCACACUCGACCCAUGUACUUCCUUCCACUCAAUAUAAAGGCAUUUCGGCUCUUGAAGCCGAUCCAUUCCUUUGUUCUCUAAUCAUUCGGCUCCUCGGCCGACUUCGGUUCUUGUUCGGUCCGUACACUCGGCUCAUCCCGCUGAACCAAAUUUACUGUAGAAGUUUCGAACCCGGCUGAUUUGAUCCCUCAUCAGCCUAAUCGUUUGAUCAUUCGAAUGGCGCAAACUUCGAGGGUCAAUACCAUAAGCCGUUUCAAUCCCGACACGCUUUCGAGAAAGGUCUUUGAUCGGGACAAGGACCGGGGAUUGUGGCUACCAACAAUUUUUGGCACGCCCAGUGGGACACAUUUGAGGUAACUUUUAUUUUUAUUAAUAUAAUGACUGACGAUAAUGCCAUGAACUUACGUAAUAAGGCCGUUCCUAGAAAUUCUGGGAGUGAACAGCCCAUCAAUUCAGAAAAUAUUGCCGAACGCCAAGCGGUUUUGCCUGCUGAAGGUGAAACUAGCGGCCAAUCCGGCCAGCAAGAGCCUAGUUUGGCUCAGGCGCUUGGGCAAAUGACUCGAGUCCUGCAAGUUCUAGAUCAAAAUAGUCAUGCUAGUACUGCAGAGCUAGACGCAGUAUUGGUCGCAAUCACGGCCUCUAAUGAGAAUAUUGCUCGAAUAGAGAAAUUAUUAACUCAUAAUGAACAACCGAUAGCAGGUUUACAAGCGCAUGUGAUUACACCAGUGUUACAAAAUCCCGUAACACCGGUAAAUGGACAGCCCCAAUACAAGGGGGCACCUUACCAAGCAGCUUAUAGACCGGCUGUCGUUAAUGCUGAUCAACAGCCAGAGAUAGCAUGGGGGUUAUCGCCUCCUCCACCAGUAGCAGUAUAUCAGCCCCAAAAUGUAGGGGCUAGGGGGCAGGCUCCAAAUGUACAAGGGGUUAACGCUGUGGUACAAAAUUUCGGUCUGCCGCAAGGACCGAAUCAAGCACAAGCGCAAGUCCCCUUACAGGGGAUUAAUAAUGAAAUAUAUGCACAGAUCGAGGAAGCCAUCCGAAAUACCUUCGGAGAAGGCGCAAGGCCGGCAAUGCGGCUUGUAUUCAGAUCACCUUACCCUGCGAAUAUAGACGCAAAACACCUAUACCCGACAAAUUGGAAAAUGCCAAAGUUCGACAAGUUUUCUGGGGAUGAGACCGAAAAUACGGUCGAGCACGUAGCGCGGUUUACAGCACAAUGCCGAGAAGCCGCAGCAGACCUAUUUUUGAAGUUAAGAUUAUUCAAUACCUCGCUGACCAAAACGGCUUUCACUUGGUAUACAAGUUUGCCGGCUAAUUCUAUCCGAGAUUGGGACGAAUUAGAAGAAAAAUUUCAUGAACAAUUUUAUAGAAUGGAACUGAAAUUAUCGGUUGCCGAUUUGGCUCAGUUCAAACAGAGAACGGGCGAAUCGGUUGAAGAAUAUUUGAAUAGGUUCAAAACGGCUAGGAGCUGCUGCUUUGUGAGAAUGCCAGAGUCAGAAUUUGCUAAAAUGGCAUUUAAUGGCCUGCAUUUCAAAAUUAAAGAUCAUUUCGAAGACAAAUACUUUCCAAAUCUUUUCGAUUUGGGAGUUCGGGUUGAUCAAUGAGAGUAAUUCCGAAAGGUAAUAAUGAAGAUCGGCCCAGAUGGAGUUGAAAUAAAGAGUGGAACAAAGAGAAUGAGAAAAUUAUCUCAUUCCUUGAAGAGUCUUGGGCCCAUGAAGAGCCGAAUUUAUCUGAAGAGACUGAAGAUUCAGCUGAUGAAGCCGAAAUAUAUGCAGCCGAGAUUGUAAAAAGUCGACAGCCAUACAAAUGUGCUUUGUUGAAGCCCGCUAAAUCAAGCGAGGCAAAAGCACAUGUUUCGGCUUACACAUAUUCUUUCGAUGUAUUGAAAACCGAUCUAAUUUUUGAUCGACUGUUGAAAGAUGGUCGAAUUCAACUACAAGAGGGUCAAACAAUACCCCUUGUAGAAGAAUUAAAGCGUAGACGAUAUUACAAAUGGCACCACUCAUGGAGCCAUAAGACGAAUGAAUGUACUGCCUUUAAGAGGCAGAUUCAAAAAGAGAUAAAUGAGGGUCGGCUCAUAUUUACCGACCAAGAAAAUAAAAGUAUGAAAAUUGAUACGAAUCCUUUUCCAUCCCAGGUCAACAUGGUGAAUAUGAAAGGAAAAGAAAAGACGACUGCAAAAAGGCAGAUCCAAGAAGAAAUAGACGAGGGUCGACUCAUUUUAGCCAAUCAAGAAAAUGAGGAUUGACAAAAAUUUGUUUCCUUUACAGGUUAACAUGGUGAAUGCUAAAGGAAAGGAGAUUGCGGACAAGACGACCUUAGAAAAUAUUGCACACGCCAAAAGAAAUCUUUGGCUUUGCAUAAGAUGUAAAGUCGAAAUGACAAAGAAAGAUUGGGAAGCCAUCGUCAACGACAAGAAAAAAGGCAACGAAUGGAAUGAAUUGAUAGUAUUCCCCGAGGAAUAGGAUGACAUUCCUGAAGGAGAUGAUCAAGAAGAAGAUGGCUCAGAUGAAGCCUCCAACGAGACGGAACCGCAAGUCGAUUCGGUUCAACACAAAAAAGACUUAUUGAUGCAGAAAGUUCUGCAUGACUACUAUCACAACCGACAAGGUGAACGUCAUAGCCGAUAGAAUUAUCCAGAAAAACCAUUCGGCUCAAAGCAAAGGUUUCCUGGGUAUCAGCCGCACUGGCAGCAUCAAGCCAGGCCGAGACCAGAACCGGAGUUCGAAGGAAUGACUAACGGAGACAUAGAAUUCCUUGGUCAAAGAUUGGUUAAUGAGCUCGGCAUUCAGCCCUGGCCGAGACCUUAGGAGAUGAGAGAAAUCUUAAAAAAUCAUUUAAGAAUGGUGAAGGUACCGGCAAAUGUGCCGGUAGACAAAUGGCACAAAGUCGAAGUAAAACCAUCGGCCAGAUGGCAAGGGCCGAUGUUAAUAAAAACUCAAAAACGUCGGCAGCAAAGGAUGUAAGCCGAGGCGAUGCAACAGUACGACGAAGCGAAAGGGAUAAGACUGAAUGUGUGCGAACCACCACACCCUUUUCGCCCGAUGCGAAACGACCAUGAAGCAGGUGGCUCAUCGCCUGUCCCUUGGUUAAAAUCAAAGAUCGAACGGCCGGUCUCGGCCGAACUGGAGGAGAAGAUGACCAGGAGGGAGUUAGAGGACAAGAUAGCCUCCCUCGAGACAAUCAUUAAACGAGAGAGAUGGCCUUCUAAGAAGAGGGAGGUACGGUUGGAAAGCGAUUCCUCGGCCGAGACGGCUAAGGAGUCCGAAGAAAAGAAACAAAGGAUUCAAGAAAAAUCGUCUGAUGAAGGACCAGCCAAUGUCAACAUGGUUUAUACGCUGCCACAGUCCUUUAAAGCAGAGUAUACUGAGUAUGAGGAGAUGGGGGAAGAAGUUGGGCUCAAUGUGGCCCAAUUACAACUAGAGGAUGCCAAACCGGCCGAUGCAGUGGUUUUCGAGUAACCAUCAGCCAUAUAGACGAGGUUCAUGAGGCCUUUGUUAUUCAAGCCGCCCGAAGCAGAGCGAGAUCAAAAAUACGAUCAGUAAACUGAUCCCAAAUUGUGGCAUAGCCUUCGAGAGCUACACCUGUGUAAUUUGGCCUGAAGCUUACUAACUUGAAGAACCGUCGAAGACGAUUCCCCAUAGUUGAGAUAUUGUCAGCUUCGGCUAUACCUUUGGUAGGAGGUCGAUAAUCGGCCGUAUUGGCCGUAAAGAAUUUAGACGGAGCUGGAAUCGACUGAACAAAUCCAAAUUGGCGGGCCACAUAUUGAGGGGAAUAAACGUCAGUAUUGGGUAAUAACUUUGAACGCAAUUUGAGCCCCAUAUGAAGAUCCCUGGAAGCCAAAUAAGAAUACCAUACUUCUGAGUACUCACUCGUGUGAGAAGAAGCUAGUUUGCCUUGAAUAGCCUCAAACCGAGCAAGGAACCACGAGAGGCCAGUAAGACGAUCAACAAAAGGAGCCCAGGAAAUAGCUGAGUCAGGAUUCGGCUCAUAAAAAGUUUUGAAAUAAGUAAGAAAAUCAGAAGGUUGACCCGAAGUCAUCGGCUGUGGACAGCCGAGAGCUAGCCCAUAAGAAUCAAAUUGGGCAGCUGAAAUCAAAUUAAAAGGAGAUUGACAAAGAGCAGGAAUAUAAAACUGCAGAAACAUUUGCAAAAAUCAGAAAACGUCGCAACCAGAGCUGAUGGCAAUACCAUCUCCAGAAGGCAGCAGUUUGAUGAAAUCAAAAAUUUCUCUAUAAACAAAGGCAAGAAAAUAAGGCCCUAGAGCUAAUCUAUCGCCGUUAGACAGUCCAACGGCGAUUGGAACAAAAUCACAAUUGAUCUUCUGCGAACGAGUGCAGAAAAGAUUAUGACACAAUCAAUAUAGGAGGAACGCUGUAUGUUCUUUCCUAGUGACAGGAGCAGGGGAUUCACCUGCAAACUUGUAGAUAAACUUGGAAUAGGCCAAGUCAUUGGGUCUAGAUAAGCCUCAAAAUUAGAUACGCCGUCAGGAUUAUAAAAAGUGGAGACAGCAACUCCAUGAGGGCGUAAGCCGAUAAUGACAGCAACAUCAAAAAGUGUGGGAGUGAGAGGCCCUCUUCUGAAAAGAAAAAUAUUAGAAGCAGGGGACCAAAAACAGAGAGCGGCGGCUAGAAGAAGGUUAUCGGCUAUAAGAGGGUGCCUAGACAAUUCAAUCGCUUCAUAAAUACCUACUUCCCACCAAAAAUCACCAAAGGCGGCUUCUACCCUAUCUAACCAGGCCAAAUAUGGCUCUGAGAUGCUUGGCCAGGUUCGAAGACUCUUUCCUGUCGAAGCUGAUGAGUACCAAUACUGAAGAUAAGUGGCUUUUCUCAGGGGAAGUCCAUCACUAGUAAAAUGGAAGUCAGCAGGGAAUGGCUCGUCUGUAAGAGAAGGACCUAAAAUAAACCGAGAUGGGUCUAAAUCAACGAAAGAUUUUAGUAUAGUAUAAUCUAGAGACGAGUGAGAAGGAAGAGGGGCAACCAAAGCCAUUAGUUAGAAAAGAAGAAGAGAAUGAGCAGAAGCUAUGAACGAAGGAUGGAGAACAGAGAAGUCAAAGAAGAAAUAAAGAGAAGCGAAAGAGAAGUUUCGUCGGAGAAGACGAGAAAGAAACAAAAAAGGAACAGAAAAGACAAAAGGAAUGAGAAGCUUGGUGAAGAAGAAAAGGCUGUCGCGUCGAACUGUCGCAUCGAAGCGAGUUCCGAGAGCGACUAUAAUGAUGAAUAGACGGCGGUAAUUAAGAUGACCUAAUUAAUGCCGCAUAUAAGACAAAACUAGAGGGCGAGAUCGGGGCCGCAAAAAAGAAAAUGGACAGCCAAGAUUAAACCGUGCAUAAGAUCACGCCUCGGAUUACGUCAGUGACUCGUACAGAGAAUUUGAAUUUAAUUGGAUCGAGAACCACGCCUCGGAUCGCUUUUGUUAUUGAAGCGAUGGCAGGAUUUCGGCAGGCGAAAAAGUGGACGGUUAAGACGAAACCGUACCAAGAGUUUGAAAAGUAAUCGCGCCUCGGAUCAUGCCAGCUACCGAAGCAUUACUUCAAAAGCUGCCGAGGGGGCAAUUGUUGAGCCAAUUAGGCGCGGACAGGUGGUACACUGGUAUUCCCUUCAAAGGCAUCAAUCUUGCCGUGCACCAGGAGCACCGGAAAAGUUUUAAAGUAAACCGUCGCACCAAUUAAAGGAAGUUACAGUAAUCGCAAGCAGUUGCAUGCGGUUCUGAUCGGCUGGAGGUGGCCCGGGAUAUUAGAAGAUAGUGGUGGAUCGUGUAAAAGCAAAAACUGAUCAAGGGGCGAUCUAUAAAUAGGUCAAUAACGCCCUAAAAAAGGGUCUUUUUCCCUGUGAACAAAAGACCACCCUUAAUUCCUCGCAAUUUUCUGCAUUUUCUAGGAAUAGUCUACUUGUAACUUUUCUCUUCCAGUAUUUACUGUUCUUUCUAGGAGUAGUCCGUAAAGUAGAACAACCGAGUCUGCAUGCUAUCUGACACACUCGACCCCUGUACUUCCUUCCACUCAAUAUAAAGGCAUUUCGGCUCUUCAAGCCGAUCCAUUCCUUUGUUCUCUAAUCAUUCGGCUCCUAAGAAAAAUUCUUAGAUAUUCAUAGAUAUUCUAAUUGGCACGCUAGACCAUGAAACAAACUCAAAAAGGGAAUUGAAGACGUAGGGGGGAGUUCACUAAUUUCGAUUAGGUCGAGCCCGUCAGAUAGUUGCUAAAAGUCGUCUGUUUCUCAGAUUAAAGUUUUCUUAUUUUCCUUUGGCCCUAAGAAAAAUUCUUAAUAGGUCAUAACCACUUAAAAACCUCUCCACGAAAUUCACCAAAAAUCACAUAAAAAAUAAAUAAAAAAUAUCUCAAAGCAAUAAAUCCUUGCUAAUCCUCCAAAUCAAGUCAAUGGGGCUUCAAUUUCAACAUACAUAUUCUAAAUGCAUCAAUUUUAUCCCAAAAGCCCUCAUUUGAAAAUUCCCAAAAUAAACCCUACUUUCAUCAAAACUAGAAAUAGGCUGUAACAAAAUACCCAUAAGUCCUCUAAAUUUCAAAAAUUAUAAGCUGUGCGGAAACAUAUUCUGCAACAUUAAGUACCAUUACUCGAAGCUGGGUAUUUGUACACGACCACUGUGUUCUGAUACUAAGUGUCAGUUCUGCAAAACUCAAACCCUGUACAUAGUUGGUUUCUACUGCAUAUGGGUACUCCAAACAUUAAUAUCGGUACUCCCAAACAUCAAUACAGCUACUCUUAGUUUCACAAAAUUCUAGAGUUUACCAACCAGCUUUCUACUAUGUACUAGUACACCACUCCCACUAUCGAUACGCUAUACCGAAACUACAACCUUACAGAUUUUGGUCUUCGAAGUACUUUUCGCGUCGUUUUUGCACCAAAAAUGCUCGUAUGCUCUCCAAACUCGGUAAAAAAACCUGAAUAGUAUUAAAUCCUAUUUAUCUCACUAGAACUUUACAAUUUGCCCAAGUCUAGUAUGCUACACACUCUUUCUCUCUCUACUUUCUUUUUCUAAAGAGAAAAGAAAAUCCUAGACUCCUUUUUUGGAUCUCGGAGCUCCAUCUCCUAGCAAGGUUGGAGAAGGAUAAGAGCACUUGGAGGGAGCCCUAGAAAGGAGGAGACAAGCUUCCCACACUUCAUUUCCCUUGUUGAGAAUAGUAACGGUAAGUUGGUUUCAGAGUUUAAAUUAAAUGUUUUUGUCUUGCCUUGAACGGUGCUAGGAGUUUUUCUAAAUAAGGGUUUUAAAGAUUCUAGCUUGGUUAGAAUUUUCUUUUUAGGACUUUUUUUGGGAGCCACAAGAGCCCAAGGGAUAUUUUCCAGAGAGUUUACAAAUCGAAGUGUGGAACAUCACUAAAAUAGGCUUAAUAUCCCCUUCAUCUAAAGUAUUCCUAUUUCUAUGCAUAUAGCUUAAACUUUCAUGUUAUCUUAGUAGCAUUCUUCAUGAGCAAGUAGAACACUGAAUUACAUGGACAUUCGGACUUAGUUGACAUAGUGUGGCACUUAACAUAAAGGGGAAAUCCAUGGUGUUGAACAUAAUGAGAUAUAGACAAAUUAUAAGAAUUUGAUAGUAAAUGAUAUAUAUAUAAACAUGUGAAUGAAUUCAUAGGUUAACUCUAAUAUUAGUAGUGACCUUCGUCUUGAAAGUUUUGAGGAGAUCUAAAAGUUCAAAAGGAAGCUCUAGAAGGGUGAAGGCAAUCCUCUCAACACAUUUUCCCCAUACUAGGAGGUGGAGAGGUAAGUUGGUAUUUUUAGAAUCUUAUUUUUGAGAAUUUUUCCCAAAUAAUGGAUUUGUGAGGUUUUAACUUUGUUAGAACUAUUUUUAGGAUUUUCUUGAUAUUCUUAAGAGGUCAAGAAAUAUCCCUUCUUGAAAAAUAAAGAGAAUGUAAAGAAUAUCACUGAAAUGGGUCCUUUUUCCUCCUCCUCCUUCUCCUCCUCCUCCUCCCCUCAGCGUGUGGUUGUAUGAGGCCACCAAGGCAACCUAUCCCAUUCGCCUUCCUCUCGGCAAUUGCCUACAAAUAAGUCUGCAUCCAUGCAGAGAGGCUGCAACUUGCUUGCCCCCGUUUUAAAAGGUCUAUUUCGACUAAUAAGAAGUCAUGAAAAAAAAAUUGUAUUACCAUAUUUCUUUAAUAGAUGGGAACCAAUUAACGCCUUUGUUUUCCAUGUGCUGCUAGGUCUUCCUCUAAGGUUCCCACCACUUUACCUGUGCCCGCCCUUUUGUUUUCUCAUUGUUUUCGGUUGGUGGUGCCUGAACUGGUAGCCUUUUCGGCUGGUGACACCUAAGCUUGUUGCUUACGGUUCAAAGGUUGGCUUAAAAAAAAACUCCGCCCUGUGCCUGCUCUCCUAUACCCUCAUUACUUUUGGUGAGUUGGGCGGCACUAUGCUCGCUCUAAAUUAUGAUGUUUUUUUUUUUUUUCCCCCCUAUUUACUUUGGCGGUUUGCCUGGGCUUCUUGAGACUACCGAAUUUGAUAUUUGAAAAGGCACCUCCUCAAAUUCUUAUACUUAGCAAGUUAAAAAAAAAAAACAGGGACACUAAGCCUUUAUACUUAACACAAUAAAAAAGGAAAACAUGCGGGGGUCCUCUUUGGGCCUACAAGCUCUAAUGUUUUUAAACGUGCCUUCUCAAAACCUUAUGCUUAACAAAUAUAAAUUAUGGCAAAAAGACAAGCAUCCAUGCAUCACACUAGGAAUGUCCCUUCUAUUACUUUCGCUAAUGCUCAAUAAAAUGUCCCCACUAUUACUUUCACUUAACAUACUCUGCAGCUGGCUGAGAGCAUGUUUGACAUUUGUGAAUACUUGUGCUUAACAAAUCUUUAUUUUGAAGAAAAAAAGUAGGGAUUCCUUUCAUUAUGUAGCUAUAUGUAUUUUCCUUUGUAUUGAUUGUUUUUUCCUCCAAUUUGCAUCUUGGUGACAAUUACUGAGAUGUCGGUUAUUCAGCUUUCAUAUACUAGACUAGAUUAUUUGAUGAAAUUGCUGGGAAGCUGGGCAUUGAAACGCCCGAGUGCAUUGUAACUAUUGCUACAGAAGGUUGGUUUCUAGCAUAUAUAGACCUUCCAAUUGCGCGUAGUGGGACCGUUAUUGAAAUUGUGCGCAAUUGGGGUCUCCAUCUUUUGAUUACAUAGCGGCAAAGAAAGAUGCAGCCUGUGUAGCUAUUCAAAGGAUGAAAGAUGAGCUCGGUUUGCAAAAAUAGGAUGCAAACUAUGAUGAUUUUAUAUUGUACAAGAGUUUGUAUUCAUAAUAGUGAUUUGCUUGGGCAGUUCACGAAUCUUAGGCGGGAGCACAAUCUUUUGAAAGAUUGUUAUGCUACUGCUGUUUCCGAAAAAGCUGACGCUAUAGCUGAGCAGGUGAAAAUGCAUCGUGAAAUCAACGAUUGUCAUGCGACCAUUAACUGUCUACGUGCUGGCCGAGCUGCUACGGCGGGUGGCCCCUCCGAAGCAGGAUCUACUUUUUAGCUCUAUACUCCGUACCCUUUAGUAUUAGAAUGUUCAACCGCCUUCUUUUGUCCUAUAGAGCCGGUACUCAUGCCUCAACAUAUUUGGUGCUUUUGUCGAUAUGUAAAAUUCGGCAUGUAUGAUUUAGCUUUAAAAAAACUCACGGCUCGCCCAAAAUAGAAAAAAGUAAAAAAAAAAAAAAACCUUUAGUCCGAGUCGUAACGUUCGCUUCCCUCCCCGGACUUUUUUUACAAAAUAACCAUCUAAAAUUUUAUAAUUUGCGAAAUAACUCUAUCAAAUUUCUAUUUGGCAAAUUAACACUUAAAACGCGGUGAAUCAUUCACCGCAUUAUGAAAAGUCUAAGAUCUUUUAAAAGCGGUGAAUCAUUCACCGUCUUCUUCAUGAUUUUUUGGAAUAGAGAAAACAAUGAGGUUGUUAAAAUUAUACGUAGAUUAUACGGGAAAUAAAAAAGGGAAAUAAAAAAAGUGAGGUUGUUAGGAUUGUGUGUGGAAUAUUAGAAUUUUUGUUUGAUUGUUAGAAUUGUAUGGAUAGAUUAUUAAAAAUUUAUUGAUUGUUAGAAUUAUAUGGAUAUAUUAUUAGGAUUUUCAAAUGGUUAAGAUUAUAUAUGAUGUUUGAUUAUUACGAUUGUUUGGAUAUAUUAUUAGGGAGUUCGGCUAUGGUGCUUGUAAAAGUACCAAGCACUUGGUGCUUGUAAAUUUUUUACCGUUAGAUCUUUGCCUUUGAUCAUUUUUACCCGUUAGAUUAUACUAUUCAAUCAACCACCCACUCAACCCUACGGGGUCCACAUUACCCUAAUCGCACAUCCUUUAAUCCAAGGGCCAAAAACUUACAAGCACUAAUGACUUGGUACUUUUAAAAGCAUAGGAGCUCAAUUCUAUUAUUAGAAUUUUUUUGAUUGUUAAAAUUAUAUGGAUAAAUUAUUAGAAUUUUUAGAUUAUUAAAAUUAUAUGUGAUUUGUUGAAAUAUUUAUGUGGUUGUUAGGAUUAUAGAAAGAAAGAAACAAUAAAUAAGUGAAAGGUGGUAAAUGAUUCACCGUUUUUCUGAAAAAUUAAGAUCUUUAUAUAAGCGGUGAAUCAUUCACCAUUUUUAAGUGAUUAAUUUUUUUUAAAUAUAAUUUUGGCCAGGUUGUUUCACAAAUAAUAAACUUUUAAAAGGUUAUUUUAUAAAAAAAAAACCCUUCCCCUCAAAAAAAAAAAAAAAAAAAAAAAAAAAAAAAAAAAAAAAAAAAAAAAAAAAAAAAAAAAAAAUCACUCGGUCAAAAAGUUUUUACCCUAACUUCUCACCCCUGCGGCCCUGCCACCGACUCCAGCCCCCAUUCCUUCCCCUCCCCCUCUUCCCUUCCGGCCGUUCGCCGAACGCCAUCGGAAGCCCCCGCGGGGCCGCGUCGAAGAUCGGGUUCUUCACUCUUCAGAAAUCAGAACCCUCCUCGUCGCCUCUUCCUCUUCCGCUUCAGCUUCAGCUUCCGCUUCCGCUCUCCAACGAUGGAUCAGUAAUCGGGUGGUUCUUCACAAACUAGGUACGAAUCGUCUGAAUUUUUAUGCUUUAGUUUCUCUCUCUCUUUCCUUUAUUUCAUCUUCUCUUAAUUGCUGACUGUAUGGUUCUGAGUAACAAGACCAUGACUACAAAAUGUGGCAUCAUUGUGAACAUGCAUUUAUUAAGAUUCGUUACUUCUUUUUUAUCUUUAAUCUCUACAGCAUACAUGAAUAUUCUAAGAUACCAUAGAUAUUCUUAAAAAAGAAUAAUCAGCAAAUAAGGUUUUAAGACCUCAAAAGGUUGAUAUGCCCAGCAGGUUGUGAGUAAGGUUCGAAAGUCAGAAGCGUAUGCAUUGAUUAAAAACCAAGGGAGAUCUAGCAAACUUAACAAAGGCUAAAAAACAUGGGCGUUAACUGGCAAUACUGUGAAUUUCCGAUGAUUUUGGAGAAAUAGCAAUAUGGAGAUACAGGUUUGAGUUUUCAUUCUUCAAUAAGAAUAUACAAACAUUGUUGAUAAUAUGAUUACAGAAAAAUAAUCUGCAAAACAUAUCUAAAAAAAGAGAAAUCAUCUUACAUUUAUAUGUUACUAUAUAUGUACCUCACUGAAAAAUGAGAAGACCUGAGGAAUAAGAGUUUGAAGAUGUCUAACUUUAAGAUUUCCUGCUCCUAACAUUUGUCUUAGAUUGUGUCAAGCUCCCAAGUGGGAUCAGUAUAGGGAACCUCUCCAUUCCUAUUAAGUUCUUAGUAAACAUUUUUUAUUAAUCAAGAACUACAAAUCUCAUCUUUAGAUGAUUGGAAAACCUUUUUUCUCACUAUUUCUAGGAAAUAAUAAUGCACUGAAACAAAUCCAUGCUUGCCAUUCAGAUAUUAACCCUUGAUAUGUCAAGUUUCUUGAAGAACCUACCAGUCCAUUUAUUAGUUAAAAAUAAUAUAUACUAUAUAUAUAUAGUGUAGUCAAUUGUUAAUUAGUUUCGUAUUGGAUCUGAAUUUUCAAAGAUAGGGCGACUGAAUUUUGGUUUUCCUUGAAGAUGAGAAUUCUUGAUUAAUAUUAUGCAACAAUAAAUCUAUUUCCUCCUUUACAAUCUUAAGAAUUAUGAGUAUUUAUGCUAAUAGCAUAAAUCUUGAGAGAAAAAAAACUUAAUUUAAUAGCCGAAUUUUUGAUCCCGAAUUUUUAAUUGGUGAACGUAUAAUAUCCGUAUAAAUCACGUAUUCGAAUAAUUGGCGAAUCCGUUUUUUAGCCGUAUUUUCAACGAAUUUAAAAAUUAGGAGACGAAUUUUAUCCGAAUUAUACCCGUACCGAAUUUUUGCCGAAUUUGAAUUCUAAAUCUGUAGUUUAAGUUGUACGUAUCCCUGUAAGCUUACUCGACAUGGCAUGCAACGCUUUUCUCAUAAACCUUAAGUAUUAAAACCAAAUGAAAUGUAUUCCAAAUAUUUUUUACUACCUUCCAUUUAUUAAAUAUUUUCUUUACUCUUUUAAUUACUUUUCAAUUAUUUUAAUAUUGUCUUUUUGUUUUCAGCUGCGGUUUAAUAAGUUUUUCAAGAAUUUUAUAUUUUUUUCCCCUUUUUGACCAGGAUUUACAUUCAAAACGAUUAGUUGAAAUUAAGAAUUUGCAUGAAGAGAGAAUUGCAAUUUUGAAAAAGUUAGCAGAUUUUCAGGUUGUUUAUCUUUCUUACUAUCCAACAUUUUUAUUUAUUAUAAUACUUCUUUCUUGCUCAUAAGGAUUUACUGUACACAAUAUAUGAUUACCAGAAUACUUUGAUGGAUCUCAAGAGUAUAGCUUCAUCCAAAGCUUUCCAGCUAUUGAAUGCUCAAUUGCAAAAGUCGAAAGCUAAAAUGGACCAAUAUCAGCCAUUAUUGGAGAAAUUACAUAUUGAAGUUGUCUUUGCAUAUAAAUAGAAUCUUAUAAAGCUUCAAAAUUCCUGGGGGUGCUAUAGCUAAAAACAUUGUUGGCAGUAGAAAAAUGUGGAGCCAAAGAGCUUCAAUGCAUCUAUGACAAUAAUUUGAAGCUCCAGAAACCACAUAUCCCAUAUACCAUAGCUUUGGGACUAGCAAUAUUAAAAUAUUUUAGGAAAAAAUAUUCGAAGACUCCCUCAACUGUAGUCAAUUCGGAAAUAGACCAUCAAAUUUCAUUAUAAGAUCCUUUCAACCUUUUUUUUACUGCGAGGAAUGCAAGCAUUGAGUAAUAGCUGAUGUUUUAAUUGCAGCUUUGAAAGAGGUGAAAAAUUCUCUCGCUGUGCCGAUAUCAAGGAAUGGAUUAAAAGCAGGUAAUAUCACACUAAUAUUUGGAUCCGUUAUUGUUAUUAUACUCUUUCUCAUGAAGAGUUCCUGUGUUUAACUUAUUGAGAAUACUAUCUUUGAGUAAUCAAUUUAUAUUUCUUACGACAUAUUCAUUCUUUUUUAAUGCAUUUUUUAACAUUUCCUUUUAUAGGAUAUUGGACAUUUUCUACCAGCAUUUCCCAAUAAAGUGAAGUUGAGUAUCCCGUACUCUGUUCCUAGCUUUACUCUUGGCAGUUUUGGUGUAAUCACUCAGUUAAGCUACUUUAUUGGUAUUGUAGUUUAGCUCAAUUUACAUUUAUUAGUUUAAUUAGUGAUAUUUCUACGGUUGUUCCCAUCAAGGGAGUAACUUUUACCACACUAGGCUACUGCUUUUUAUUUCUAUUUGACCCAAGUCUUCUUGAUUCUCCAAGCCAUAACUCUACAAUUUUAGGAUGUGUAUGUGUAAUCAUCACCGCAAUGCUUUGGAAUUUUCACUUUAUUAAUCAUAACUUUAUAGUUCUAUAAGGCUGGAAGUUGGAAAAUGAUUUUUAUCUUCCUGUAGAUGCUUUUCUCAAUGCUAGGAAAAUGCCAAAUGUUCUUUCAUUUUUUUUCCUAUUUGCUCAGUAUAUUACUUAUCUUUAGCUCUACAAUAAUAUCUAUCUGCUGUGUAGAGCAAGUAGCGACGCUAUAUUAACUAAAUUUGAAUAGAUUAUAUCUCUAACCCUAAUUUUUUUUUUCGUAGUAUUAAAUAUUCCAAUCCUUAUCCACAAGGUUUAAAGUGCCGUGGCACGGGGGCGUGCUGUUAUGUCCCUGGCACGGUACGGCACAGGCACGCUUGCGUGCCGACACGUGGCACGCUUGCGUGCCGAUAGAUACGCAUGACCUUCUACUGGCACGGACUUCAAAAUAUAAGCUAAUGACUUAAUUUAAUAUAUUUAUAGUAGUGAGUAUUGCAUAAAGCAUACUAACUAAAUUUGUAAUGAUAAACAAUGCAUUCAAAUUUUAAAGUCAAAAUGUUGUUGACUGGCGCAAAUUAAACAUAUUGAGAUGUUAGGUAGUAAAAUCAAAAUUUAGAAAGGUUGGAUAGCUAAUUUAAAAUAAUCCAUAAUUCAAAUAAGUUCCGUACGUUUUUAUGAAAAAAAUGAGAUUAUUGGAUAAAUAUUUCACCUAAAGUUUUUCCCGUAGUUCUCUUAAGUUUUGGUGUGUUGAUUAUACUUGAUAUUAUGCCUCCGUGUUGCAAAUGGAGUGCAAUAGUCUAUUUGCAUUAAAGGUGGGUCAUAUUCGUUGAGCUUCACAAGAAUAACAAUUUGCAGUUAAUAAGUAUGUAUAUAUAAAAAAAGCAAUGAUGAUAGAAAAUUUAAAGUCAACCAGUCUGAUGGUCUAAGGGCAACUCUUGCUUUUAUUAAUUGUUCACAAGCUAUCGAUUUGCAAAAAGGAAAAGGGUGUAUUUUGUGCAAAAAUACUGAUGAAAAUCUAACUAUUUGAGCUCAAGUCACUAAAUCUUUUUUGAUCUCUUUGCUUUUGCUUGCUGCUCAGCUGGCAGUUGUGUAGUAGCUCUGUUCUUGCUUCGUGCUUUUUUCCGUCGUUGAAUUUUUGCUCUAUCAACUAUUCAGUGGAUUAGAUAUAUUUCAUCGCACAACAUCAUGAUGAUAAGUGCAUUUGCAAUUAUUCUAUUCUUAAGUAAUUUAUAUUUUCUAUUUAAAUUUUAAAUUAUUUCAACCUAAAUUAUUUCAGUUUUAGUGCGUUAAGAGCUAUGAUACAUUGAGAAAGACUUCUGACUACACAAGACAAUUAAUGAAAUCCCUCUACACAUUUGAAGAAAGGAAAUUAAAGUUGUAGGAUUUGCGAAAGUUUGUAAAUUAUAACGUACAGGAAUUAGUAAGUUAAUUCUAAGCCUUUUUGUAUUGAUAGAUCAUAUAUUCUCUCAUAGCUAUGACAAAUAUAUUUUUAGACCACAUAUCUAACUAACAUAGAGUAGAGUUUUCCACUAUCAUUUUAUGCAUUGGAAGAGUGGAUUUUGUAAGUGCUUUUAGAUGUUCUGUGUAUUCUAACAAAUGAAAGGUGAUUAUAUAUCAAGGAUUUAAGUGCUGUGGCACGCGGUCGUGCCGGAAACUUGUUGGCACGGUACGGCAUGGUGCGUGCAGAGCCGUGCCGAUGGGUGCCGGUCAAAAAAAUUCUUGUGUGCCGACACAUAAUAGCAUAAAAUAUUUAUUUUCUUUAGCAAUAAAAUAUUCUAACUAUUUAUUAUAUUUUUUUAUCACAUCUUUUGAACUUUGUUGAUAAAAUUACUUACUAAUUUAAAGAAUAGAGGGUUUUGAGCUGUGCCAUCGGUACGGGGUCUGUAUCGUGCCGGUAUCUUGUUGGCACGGUACGGCACGGUAGAUACGGCCCGUGCCGACGGGCACUUAAAACCUUGUUAUAUAUUAUAUAUAUUGAUUAACUUCUAUAAAAUUGAUCCGCCGCAACGCGUGGGUGCCUACACUAGUAUGAUUUUAAAGUCUUUGAUGUCAUUUAACAAUUGUUUGAAAGUAUCUUAAAGAGUUGUGCACCUUGCCUCUCUCAGGUGCGCGUUUGCUUUUUCAAACACCGAUAGAAAUCAUGUAGAUAUGAUGUGUAGUGUAGAUGUCUAGCCAUGAAUACUAUUAUUGAAAAUCCGUCUUGUUUAUCCCACAUUCGAUAAAUGCGAUUUUUUCGUACUCCUUAAUUUUCUCUUGGAUCGCACCUUGUGCGAGUGCGGAACCCAUUAUUCCUAAUGUCGGAAUUCCAUUUUACAAUGUAAACGGCAUUGAGAAUCAUACUUAUUUUGCUUCAGUUGAUAUUGAUAUAUAGAUUCCGAAGGGAUAAACAUUGGCCACAUGAUAGAGAGUGAUGAGAUGGUGGGGGCAAGUAAGAAUGGCAUGGGAACGUCAUCUCCCCACGUAGAGAUACUCAUACCGCCAUGGUGGGCAGAGGCGGCAGAGGCUAUUGCUCGCGCCGCUUCUCAGCCACCGGUUGCCUUCAUCUGCGGCCCUAAGAAUAGCGGGAAGUCUACAUUCUCUCGAUACCUUCUCAACAUUCUCUUGGAAAGGUUCUUGUCUCCUUCUCCUCACUGUUCCUAUUUAAUAGUCGUAUUUAUUCUCGGUUCUUUCGUUCUUGUGGAUCAGUAAAGAUUUGGGAUUGUGUGUAGGUAUAAGAGAGUAGGCUAUUUGGAUACCGAUGUGGGGCAGCCAGAGUUCUCUCCUCCUGGUUGCCUCUCCCUUCAUAUUAUUGGUGAAAAUAUACUAGGUACAUUUGUUUCCUGUUCUCUUAGUUUUUGGUUCUUUAUUGACUUACUGAGAAUUUGUGGAACCCGUGCUAUACUUUCUUUUAAUUCUCAUUUAUUGAUUCUCUUUUAGAUUUGAUGAACACAAGUCUAAAAACACCUGAGAGGUAAGCUUUUGUUCAUUCCUCUUGUUUUCUGUGUUUCUUCAAAAUAGAAGAUUUUCUUAGAUCAACCAAAAAAAUCAAAUUGGAACUCUUCUAUUAAUUUCAUUGGACUAAGUUGGAAGUUCAGUUCUAUUCAUUUGGGGAGCCAAAAUAAUUUGGUUUUUGGUGUCCAAUUCUUUAGAUAGACAUCUAAAGAAUUAGAUAGACAUCUAAAGAAUAUGUUGCAAGUUACAGUUUAGAUGCCAAUUUAACGAUUGUAGACUUGUAGUGCUUAAACACUAUAAUGAUUAUUGUACAUCUCUUGGUUAAAAUUCCGAUAGAUUUUAGGUUCAAAAGUCACCCUAAGGAAUGGGCUCAAGCCAAUUUGAUAGCUGACUUGAGAUUACUCCUUAUGUUAAACUGGUUUCCAUGGUUUGUUUGUUCCUUCAAUUUCAAAAUGACAAACCAUUACUUCAAUUGAAGGCCAUUUUCCUUACAAGAUCAACGAAACUUACCAAUACAUAUCCCCUUGUUAUUCUUUUACCUGUAUUUCUGCAAUUAUACAGCAAUAUAAUUUCUAUGUAUGAUGCAUGAUUAGUAUACUUCUUUUUAGCACUUCAGCUAAAGAUUUAAAGGUUAUAGUAAUUGCGUAAUUAAGCUGAUCGAAAUCUUGAUUUAUGUCCUUUGUUUCUAAAGUGUUCCGUUGGGUUUGUUCAUGGUCCCUAUGCUGGUUUAGUUUUGAUGCUUAAAUGAUCAAGUUUGAUGUUAGAUUGAGUCAUCUAGAGUUAUCCAUUGAGGCAAUAUAGUUCUUGCUUGUGUAGUGACAAAUACUAUACAAUUUGCUGCUGAUAUUAUGCAUUCUUUGUGAAUAUUACUUCCGGUUUGCAUGUGUGGUGGCAACCAAAGCGGCUCGUUUUCUCUUGCAGGGCAGUAUUCUAAAACAACUGCAAAUAUUAUUUUAAGUUCAGCGACUUCAGCCCAGCUUCUUAUAUCAGGAAUUAGCUACUUCUAUCAUUCACGUUCCAUAUAAUUGCUUCGGUAAAUCUAUAGGCCUAUAGCUUAGAGUAGAGAUAAGAGAAAUGAAUGUUUUAACAGAUGAUACUCUGCUAGGUAGAACAUAGAUCAAUUUCAAGACUAGAUUUUACUCCUCUAUAGGUGUCAUUGUGUUGAUGAAUUGAUAAUUUAUUGAGAUAAUGCUCUUCGUCAUAUAUUCAUUAGGAGAUUCAUAUCACUGUCUUGACACAUUCUGCAAAUAUUUUACUUUUUCUACUCAAAAUGGCAAGAUCGUCGCCAAGCAGCUAGGGUUGGGAGUGUGCUAGGGACUUAAAGAUUCUUGGUAAUGAGGAACAUUAUUUCUUGUGAAAGUUGCAUUACCAUCUGGUAUGGGAUUGUCAAAAUUCCUCCUAUCUCAUGGUAAUGUAAGAUUCCUGUGAAUGUGGAAUUGAGGAUAGUUUCACCUCUUCCUAGCAAGCCCUUUUACUCCUCCUGACAUAAUUUCACAGUUGCAAUCUGGCUAUUUUGACUAGAAAGUAGAGCAUUACUGUUGCAACGCCUCUUUGAUCUAGUAAUUAGAGAGGACUAGGAUAUAUGUGAUAUAUUUCUGAGCUUAGAGAUUCCUAUUUCUACAUUGGCAUUAAGGGCUUUAUGGAGGACUUGAAAAAAUUUCAAAUCUCGAAAGGCGAAAGGGAAAACAGGGAAAAAAAUGUUGAGUAUGACAAAUAAAUGUAAUUUAUUCACUAUUUAGUGCAUUUGUGUUUCUUUUAUUUAAUACUGGAGAAAUCAUCACCUAUGAAGUAUGAAACAUGGUACCAUUAUAGCACUCUUCCAGUUCCCUUUCUCCCCUUCCCACCUUUAUGGGUCCAGUAGUGAUUAGUGAAAGGAAAAAAAAGAGAGUUGAAUUCGCAAAAACCCAUUGACCUUUUCCUAGUUGCCUUAUGACCCAUUAACUUUAAUUUGGUGCAAAAAAAAGAAAAGCAAAGAAAAAGCUAUAGUUCCAUUGUAAUUUGGCUCAUAAAGCUUUAUUUAUCGCUAAAAAAUACCCAUCAUCUUAUGUUGUUAAGUUUGAUUUGAUGCGAAUAGCAACAUUUUGUCUACUAAGGUUUAUUUGUUAUAAAAAUCCUGGCCAGUGCAUUACUUUAUGUAGUGACAUCAGAUAAAAGUGAAGCUUCUCUUGGCAAAUCAUGCUUUAAGUCUCAAAUUGAAAUGGUAUAUAAGGUGUUAGGUUUUCUCGCACCAAAUUAAACUUAGCGGGAUGAAGUGUAAUUAGGGGAAAUUUGAUUUUUAUGAUCUAAAUCCCGAAAAAAAGAGGAAAAAGGAAAAUCAAUAAGAUAGAAAUUUAAAUAAACAUAAAAAUUCUAGAACCCUCGAUCAUUAGAAGGUGUUUGAUGUGUGGAUGAUCUUUCAGUGCCCAUUUGGUUUGGCUUUUGAAACAAUUUCUCUAGUCCGAGUAAUAGUAGUCACACAUUCAGCAAGCAAAAAGGUUGGAGCUUUUGAUACAAUGAGAAGCUAAAAUGUGCUUAUGAGCACUGAAACAGAAACUUUAGUUUCAUGUUUGUGUAUCUAUUUGAGGAACUGUUUUCUAGGAGCUUUGAUGAAAUAGCUGUUAGUGCUUUUGUUUGCUUCGCUGCUCAAUGCUGGGCAAAGAUCUCGAUCGCAACACUCGCUGCAUCAACUUCAGCCACCUCCACCAGGGAAGAAGAAGGCGUUCGCUCUGUCUCCGAAGGGCAGAGAGAAGCUGUCUUCGAAGGGCAAGGAGAAGGAAUUCGCUCUGGAGUACACUUUGCCUUCGAAGGGCAAGGAGAAGCUGAGCAUCGGACAAACAAAGGGCAAGGAGAAAGUUAGCAUCGAACAAAAGCCGGCAGGGACAACGUAUUCCCUCCGACCAGGCGCUCCUUCAAGCUUUCUAACAGGCCCGGAAAAACUAUAUUCAUCAUAUGAAUCUGAAUUGAGAUACUCAAGUAUGCUCUUCUGUCAAUGUUUGGUAAAAUAUAUGCAUACAAAUUGGGCUUAGGUCAAAUAAAACACCGAGCUGGACUUUGGAAAUAUGCCAAUCGGGCUUUAGGUUACAAGAUUCUUGGCUACAUAUAUACAUUAUUAGUUCUGAAGUUUGUCAAAGGUUUGCAAAGCUUGGUGGUUAGCGUUUUAUGUUUAUUCUUUGUUCCAAAGUUCAAAGCCCCAGGUAUUAAAAGAAAAACGUAGUUUCCCCCCCCUUUGCCAUUUACUGUAGUCCCACAUUGGCCGCACUCAGGCAUAGAGAGUGUUUUCCAAUAUAUUUAAAGGAUCUAUGCUUGAGCUGCUAUCAAUCAAGUCUAUGAGUAGUUAGCAACUCUUGAGAAUUACAGAUUAUAGAUAAUUGAAACUCUAUAUAUCAAAUUUUGAGUAACUCUUGAGAAUUACAGAUUAUAGAUAAUUGAAACUCUGUAUAUCAAAUUUUGUGUAAUUUGGAUCUGUAUCCAGUUUUGAAAAUACUAAUAACUCAUUGAUCAAAUUUGAGUUUGAAUCAAAUUAUGGAGUAGCUAAUUUAUCAGCUGAAAUGGGCUCUGACUUGAUAUCGAUCCAAGUGAGGUCCGAUAUUAUCUAAUCCUUUAGCCCCCCGGAAAUCUUAUUAAAUGCCAAUAGGUGUUUGAUGUGUGAAUUAGUAAGGCAGUCAUGUCUUAUAACAUGUAGAAAAUCUUAUGAAAUGCCAAUAGAAAAGUAUUACCACCUUAUUUUAUUUAAACCAAAAAGUAGUUGGGAAAAUGAACAGCUGUGUCUUGUUCUAAAGUUGUCUUACUCUCCACUUGGGAUUGUGGGAAGAGUGCUGUGUGUGUGGUGAGAAAGUAUGAUAGGAAAAUAGUUUGUAUAUUUGUGUAAAUAAUAUUACAUUGGGCAUAUUGCAAGAGUUGGUUAAGAUAUAAUUUAUGGGGUCCGAUAGGAAGAUGGAGAAGCAUAUCUCUAUAUGCUUUCGAGCAGUGUUAUGCAGCCCUCAAUACCAAAUUGACCCUAAGAAAUUGAGACAAUAAGAGAUGAAUGAAGGAAACAAAGUAGGAAAGCCAAAAUCCAAAGAAAAAGAGGCCCAUUACAGGCUCAUAACAGGGCCUUCAAAUGACAAGUGUUGCACAUUAUUGAAGGUGCCAGAGGCUGCUUCACAAUCUUAAGCAAUUUGGAGUGAAGGGAAUCGUAUUAAAGCGGUGUGUUAUAAACCUUUUCGUGCUGAUAUUGCUUAUUUUUCAUUUUAUGUGCCACCAAUUUCACUGUAUGUAAGGUUAAAACUGAGCCUGGGGCAAUAGCAGAGUAGAUGGGCAGUGCUGGUCUAGCUAGAAUAAGUGCCUAGGUCAACUGCCUAGGUGCCUAGAUUGCACCUUUUACAACACAGGUUGGUCUCUUGAUGUAACUUGCCAUCGUCUUCUGCAAUGGAAUGUAGAAAAUUCAGAUCUUGAUUUGUGUGUGUGAAUGUUGGCGCUGGUUGAUAAAUCUAUUCAGCUCUCAUAAUGUUCGCAUAUUUGAGGAAACAUAAGCAGUUACAUCAGUAAUUAUUCGAUCUUUCUUUUCUAUACCAAGUGAUCCUCUAACUUAGGAGCCAUUAGAUGUAAUAUCUCUUAGAAAAGCAUACCUCAACCUAGAACACAAAAAUCUCUAGUCUGUCACUGUCAGAUGUACAUUCUCUUGAGUAGAAGUCACGUGGAAACCCAUUUUAUUGAACGCCUUUUUUUUUUUUUUUUUUUUCCUGGAUCUAUCUUAAAUGUUUGAUGAAAUUUCUAUUUUGGAUUUGCCAUACUCCUAAGUUGUUACUGCAAAUGUCAUCCAGUAUUCUUUGGCCAGCUUCUUGUUUUUGCCUAUUGCUUUGUGAUUCUCCAGUGUGGGAAAUAAUAGUUUGUCAUCUUCUUAAUUUCUUUCAGGUGUUUCUUCUAUGGUGAUAUUUCAUCAAAGAGAGACCCAGAAGCGUAUUUAAAUUAUGUUUUCAACUUAUAUGAUUACUUUCUCAAGGAGUACUGUUCCUAUAAUGAAACCGAAAAUACUGGAAAUUCAAUGCCACCUUUAAUUAUCAACACUCCUGGAUGGAUGAAAGGUACUAUUACAUUGCUUGGCAUGGUAAUGUCAAAAAAAGAAAGUUUACAACUUUACAUAGCAUAAAUAUAAUACAUGCUUUUAAACUGAAGAGUCGAACUCUUCUGUCUGUUGCAUCUGUUCUUCAUCAUCUUUCUAUUUGAUCAUGUUUGAUACCUACUAAAUAUCAUAUUGCUGUGAACUUUUUCUUAUGGCUUUCCUUUCCUAUUCAGGUACUGGUUUUGAUCUUUUGGUAGAGAUGUUGAGAUAUAUCUCUCCCACUAUGGUGGUUAAAUUAUGUAUCUCAACUAGGAGUAAAAAUCUUCCUAAUGGAAUGUUUUGGUUUGAUGGUGAACAAAAGGGACAAACUGUUGUUAUUGAUGUUUUUUCCGCACAACAAGACUCCUUAAAUAGAUCGUAAGUAUGAAAUGUAGACCUUUCUCUAGUAAAAAGUAGAUUCUUGAGUACAUAUAAAACCAAAGUAUAUGUUAUAUUAUUCAGUUUUAAAUUUGAUGUUUUCUUGUUAAUUUUCUGGCUGGAUGUUUUCAAAGGUGAUAAUAAAUAGCAAGUAUUCAUAAAUAGUUAACUAUAUCAUGUUAAUGAUGUUAGUCAGAUGUUACUUUCUGAUUCCUCUUUUCACUUGUGAGAUUUACAUUCUUAAGUAAAAAAAAAAAUGAUAUGCUUUUAGUGGAUGCUGGGGAGAGAAUUUUUGCGUUUUCUCACCAAAAGAUGAAUGGUUCCUCAUGGAACAACACUACCGUUGUGUUUCUAUAUGCUUAGGAACCUUCUCAAACUCUUGUGGAAGGUAUUGAAAUUUAGGUCUGCCAACUAAAGAUUUGGUUAAUAUGGAAAUUUCACUACUAACUUAUAGCUUGAAGGUGUAGUUUGAAUUGUUUCUGGAACGGUUAAUGGUAAAUAGAAACUAUGCAAGGUCAUGUUCUAAUAGAAUGAUGAUACUUCCUGUUCUGUUUCUCCUCUUUAUUAUAAAAUGCAUUACUAUAUUGUGGUUUUGCAUGAUGUUAUAUACCAACACUUCAGUAAUUUUUAGGUGAGAACAUGGGUUAUUUCACAUGAAGAUCUGCAAUAUAUUUAACUUUUAUCUAGUUUUCUUUUCUUCUGUAGGGUUUUGAUUCAGAAGGAUGUACGUGGUUUACGUGACCGUCGUCUUUUUGAAUAUUUCAAGCAAUGUUUUCCAACUGAUACGAAUAUUUCAACAAAUAAGGAACUUGCCUAUGCCCUGGCUUCUCUCCCUCCUUAUAUACUGCCAUUUUCGAAAGUUAAAGUUAUGCAUCUUCACUGUCAGGUCAGUCAAAAUAGUUGUGGUUUACAUUUUUCAGAUUUUGAAACAUUGGUUUACAAUUAAUUAUUAGAACAGGAUUCUCUCCUGUCAUUGAUGUUAUUGCUUACUUCUUGGCUGUUGUAUACUUUGUGUCCAUUGCGCAAUGUUGAAUCCUUCAUUCCUCCAUUGCAAUCUUCCAUCAAUCACGUCAUCAGUUCAUGACUAUGAAUUUUUUAGCGACUGUCUUUCAUCUUUAUCCUUUGAAAGGAAAACCUAACUAAUUCUUGCAAUGAUUUGAAAGUACUGAAUGGCUAGAAACUUGAUUGUUACCCACUAGAUUUUUUUUAAUGAUGUCAAAACAGUAUUAUUUUUUAGGAAAAACUUUAAAUAUCACUCCCGUGGUUUCGCACUUUUUCACUUUAGUACCCUAUGGUUUAAAGUGUACCCUAUGGUUUUAUUUUUCUCUUUUUGUUAUCCCCUCCACUAAUUUUUUUGUUAAAUAAGUGACAAAGUUAAAACUAAAGGAUAUUAAAGUGAAUAUUCAAUAAACUAAAAGUGGGGUAUCUGAAGUUUUUUAUAUAUGAUUUAACGAGUUAACGGAGGGGUUGACAAAAAGAGAAAUAAAACCACAGGAUGCUAAAUUGAUACACUUUAAACCACAGGGUACUAAAGUCAGAAAGUGUGAAACCACAAGGGUGGUAUUUGAAGUUUACCCUAUUUUUUAAGUUGGACCAAAAGUUGUACUCAAUUUAUUAUUUUUCUUGUGAUAAUUAUCAAACUUGCUGGAUUGUCAAUUUUUUUUUUUUGGAAACUAGGAUUCUCUUGAGCAAUCUAGUGCCUGUGUGUUCACCUGUUUCUAUAUUUGAACUUUAAAAGAACUUUUUUGGUUUACCAUUUUGCUUAUGAAGCUUUUGGUGUUUGUUAGGUCCCAAGUAAUGAAAUAUGGCACAGCCUGAAUGCUACUAUUGUGGGCUUGGCAGUUAGUACUGAUGGAACUGUAAUGAGUCGAUCCACACCUUGGUGUGUUGGGCUUGGUACUCUCUCUCUCUCUCUCUCUCUCUCUCUCUCUCUCUCUCUCACCUUGGUGUGUGUGCAUGUGUGCUCACGUGAUAUUUGUAUAUCAGUAUUGUUUUGUUAAGACAAUGUUUGUCCCUACUAAUUUUUCAGUGGGACAGAAGUCAGGAAACGGUAUUAAUUUGUAGAAGAAUCCAAAUUGGUUGAAAUUUUGUUGGAAAAUUCAAUUUGAUAUCUAGAUGAACAUAAACAAUCCUGAUCUUGAAUUCAAGAGUCUUAUCAUUGAUUUUCUAGGUUGUUUGAUUUGAUUGCACCUUUUGCAGCUAAUUAAUGCACUCGAAACUAUUAAUUUUCUUAAAUCAUAAAACUUUUUUUCUAGAUACUUCAAAAACUCUACAAAACAAACAAGGACAAAGGCUUCCAUCCUCUUAGUAGUAGUUGGAUUUGGUUAUGUCCAUGCCAUCGGCAUGGAAGAUUUGAACCAUUUCUGUACCUUGUGGGCACCGUACGUGCCAUCUCAAGUCACACGGUUGACAUGUCAAUCCAUGCUAUCAGUCACAGGAAUGCCUUUUCCCGUCAGCUUUCUCUUUGAUAACAUCCUCCCAUAGAAAGGCAAUCACCUUUUCUUCCGUUUCUAGCAACUUUUGGAUCUUCCUCUCCUACUUGUAGUACUUGCCAUUUAAGUUGAAAAUUUGAAACAAAUAAAGCUAUAUUGGGCAGUAAAUCUGGAAGCACAAUGAAGAAGAACAAAUCACUCUUUGCCAGUUAAAGGUGGGAAGGCAAACCAGUCAAAUUGCAGAUUGCCGGUUUCUUUCUCUACGUUUAAUAGACUUCAUUCAUGCCUAUACAUCUGAAAUGAAAUCUAGGUUUCUUCCCUUCUAAUCUAGUCUACAACUUGAUUGGAACUUGAUUAGUGCAAAAGUAUAUACUGCUCACUGAAAUACAUAUAAUUCAGGUAUCGUCAGAGGUGUAGAUGUCACUGAAGGUCUAUUAUAUGUGAUUACUCCUGUUCCUCUUCACUAUCUUCGAAGUGUGGAUCUUCUACUACAAGGCUUUGUUGAAGUACCGACUAGUCUUUUGCAGGUAAUUAAUUGAAGUACCGACUAGCGUUUCCUCUCUUUGUUAUGUAGCACAUUUGCAGCUUGUGGUCUAAUGAAUUAGUUGUGUUUAUUCUAUAUGGUUAUGCAAGCACGCCAAGCAACAUACUUUUUCUUGUCGAUGCUUUGUGAACUAGAUCUUUCUUGCAGUUCGUUCGAACUAAUCCUUCUUACAAUUUUAUGGAGGAAACUCUGUUUUUAACGACAAACUUUACAUUAUGUACCAUAAUUCUCUUCUACUAACAAUAGACCUUUCUUUCCAGGUGCGCGGAUGUGUUUCCCCUUACAUGUCUACUAAUGUGCUGCAUAGGAUAUCAGAUAAGGAUUUAUAGGAUAUCAAGAUGGGGCUGUAAAAACAGCAGCAAAUGCAACACUCAGAGCAGUUGAAAGGGGGGGGGUGGGGUGCAAAUUUUGAGAGCACUGUUAGAGGGUUGCGUCUCACUNUUUUUUUUUUUUUUUUUUAAUUAUUAUUAUUAUUAUUAUUAUUAUUAUUAUUACCCGGUUCUUAUGGAGUGCUGCCUCUAAGUUAAUUGGUAAAUGUUGAGACUUCUCUGAUCAGGAUUUUGCUGUUUGAUGUAAAUUAACAGUCCCAAUAUAUGCUUUAUGUACAAGGAGGGUUAUUUUGGGAAAGUUCAAAAUAAUUUCAGUUAGUGUUUCCGUGUACAAUGUUAGGAUGCAGUUUUCAACGAGUAAUUUGAUUCCGAUGUGGGUUUGUGUGUGGAAUGGCAGGUAGCAUUCUGUUUUCUCUUCAAUUUUUCUUUUUCAAUUUUUUUUUUUCUUUUGAAAAAUUUCUCUUACUUGUAGACACAGACACCCACCGCAGUCCACAAGAAUAUUAUUGAAUGUUCUCUGGAGGUGAACUUCUGUUUGAGCGUUUUUUUUUUCCGUCCUUAAGAUUGAGAACAUUCCUGUAAGCAGUAUUUUCUGUUUUCUUAUUUUCUUCGACUGUAAAGAGGUUAUUAUUUUACGCAAACCUGCGCCGGAGAAGGCUGUAUAUGUGUGAAGUAUAUGUGUGAAAGCUUGCUCGACUAAGAUUCGGAGGCUUGGCAAAAAGAUGGAAGUUCAAAACACGGUUUCUGCGUUGCUUAUGAAUAUCAUAUUUCCUAUAUUUUCUUAAAUAAGAUCGGUAUCACAAUUUAUGUUCGCUCAUGUUAAUGGUGGGUGGUUCCUGAAGGUGCUUCAUCCCUUUCAUUAUUUUGGUUCCAGUUCAGAAAAAUCUGGCGAAAUUUGUGUUCCUAAUUUUAUUUUAUUUUUUAACUAGGGACUGAUUAUAGUCGCCCAGGUGGAAGAUUAUUGAAUUAAAGUAUGCCACUGUUAAAAUUGUAUUUGGUUGGGGAAUAAGCUGUUGGUUGUUCUUGGAAAAGCAACAGUAUCGGUGCGUCCUAUAAUGGGUAUAUAUCCUACACUUUAUCGAUUCAAUAGGUGGGGUAUUUUAUUAGUCACUUCUUUAUCCAUCCAAUAGGUGAGGUUUUUUAUUAGUCACCUCACGUGACUAGUGAAUUUGUUCAUCUCUUGGAUGGAUUGGGGCCGCAGUGUUAGACAGUAUUUCUCAUCUUGAAAUAGGUGGAACUUCUAAAAUAAGUAAAGAGCCAAAUCAAUUUUGUAUUUGCAUGAGAAUUGGUUUAUUUCUAGAAAUUAAAAGAAGUGCUUGGGUGAAGUUCAGUACUGAUGUUCUCAACUUCAAUAUCACUACUUGGGUGAAAUUUCACAAGUCCUGAGAGUUCUUCAAGCCAACUCAUAGUUGAAUACCAAUACUCUAAUUUCAGUAUCAAUAGUAACAGCAGAACUAUAGUUUUGCACAUUUUGCCUUCUUUUUCAAACACAAUCAGGAUCAUCAAAAUAGUAUUAUUACUAGUUUACUUGAGCUUCGCUAUUUACAAAAGUUUAGUGCAUUACAGAGCAUCCGGAAAGAAAUAUGCACUCGAUGCAAGAGAAUUGAACAAUUUCGAGCACCCGAGGGAUUUGCCAAAUGUCUAAAAGUCUAGAUUUCACUCAUUGCGUAUCCAAACUCUUCCAAACCUGUAGUACACUGAACUUGGGCAAAUUGCGAAGUUCAAGUAUGGGAAUGGUAAUUGAAAUCAUUCUACAUCUUUUGAAGGGUUGUCGUGGGGUUUUCGGCGAGUUAGUGGAGCGAUCAAAUGCUCGGAAGUGCAAAAGUGCAUUGCAAACUGCAAUUUCUGCACUCUGCAUUGAGUACCGGUACGAGUGUGAUGGGGUACCGGUACCUAGCAGCAGCAACUGCGUGGUAGCAAGGCUAAUUUGGUCUUUUCACUGCCAAAGCUUAUCCCUAAAAGCCCAGCACAAUCUCUGCAGCUGGUUAGAAGGUGCUGGAGCAUAGAAGAUCAGGUUUAAACCCUUCUCUUUCUCUCUCUCUAUGUUUUCUCUCACCUAGAGUAGGAAACAAGUGAUUUGAGCCUAUUUCUCUCCCUCUUUUGUUACUAGCUGAAUUGGAGAGCUUGGAGCAGCUGUGGAGGAGAGGAAAAGUAGUCUUGAGAGUGGUUUUUCGCCACCCUAACUCAGUAGGAAGCUGGAUUAAAGCUUGGUAAGAUAAGCUAUUCAACUUCUUUGUAGUGAAUGCCAUAGAAGUGAAGUUGAUGUUGGUUCUUUGCUUUUUGUCGCAGCCGGUUUUGGAAGGUGCUUAGUAGUAGUAUAGAAGAGGUGUUUUGCUGAGUUUCAGCUACCCUGAACCAGAGAAGAAGCUGAAGUGAAGGUUGGAAGGUGAUUAGCUACCUACUUUCCUUGUUUUGAUGCUAUACUAGGUGUAUAGAUGAAAGUAAUGAGGCAGUUUUUUGGAUAUGUUCACAGCAGGUUUAUUAACCACUUUGAGCUGAGUUUAGUGACUCUUGUGAGCUGAUUUCAGUGUGCUUCAACCUGAUUUGAGGUGGAGUUCAAGUUGGAAUCCUAAACUAGGUAUGAUUCUACCUAGAUUAGAUGCUUAGGAGAAAUUGUUUAGUAAAGGUUGAAGUCAAGCUUCCAAUUUAAUUAGUAUGUUUACUAGGGUGCCUGGAGGCUGCGGAUUACUUUCGCUAGCAGGAUCGACGAGAGUCGACGUGCUUUUGGUGGGUUUGACCUCACCGAAAUGGAUGAAUUCCCCCUAUGUUCUUAUCUUUUGGCAUAGAACUAGAAUUAUGCUUAUGUGUCGCUAUUGGCGUCAUAAGCGAGUUGUUGGAUGUAAUAGUUGUAUUUACAUCAUAUCGCUGGUUAUACUCUAUUUGGUAGAGAGCUAUAAAGGUUAAAUUCCUUGCAUGAUAACACAUAUCAUUGUGUAGACAAGUCGUGAGUGAAUGUACUAUGCUUGAAUUAGCAAGAAUGACAUGUGGUUUUAUAUCCUAAUGGUUGUUAUAUAUGUAUAGAACAUAUGAAACAUGUAUUAGAAUAUGAUCAAUAUACUUGGGUAGACAAGUUAAACUUGACAUCCUAUUGACGAAACUACCAUGUACUUCAUGUUACUAGCUAUGCUUUAGUUGAUAACUAGCAUUUGUUAUCAUAUUUAAAUUCCGACCUAUAGGUCGGUAGAGGACAUUCUGUGUUGAGACAUGACGAUUGAGGAACUUGUAUUAUGGAUCAUGCUUGCUUGCCAUUGUGCUCAUUCGCACAUGCUUGUGAGGGUCGCUCCCCACAAGCUGGCACUCCGGAGUUGGCCUACGCGAUAGAUUGCUCGCCCCUGCAGGAUUGGGUGCCGAAGUGGAUUGCCGCGGGGAGUGUAAACUACCACGGGGCCAUUAGGCGCGGCGCAAGCUGGACUACCUUGUGUAGCUCAUGAAUUGAAUCAAAAUCCUAAAUUGUGUUGAGAUAAUGGUCACCACUAGAUAAUGUGUAUUUACAAGACGAAAUGACAUGUUUACUUAUGUAAAGUAGUUACUUUGCUUACUGCAUAAAAGUGAUUACAUUGGAAAUAUAGUUGUAAGAUCAUUGCUUAUUAUCUUUGUCAUUUCUAUCAUGUAGCAGUUAUACUUACUUUUCUUUAUGCAUCAUGAACCUAGUGGUAUAAUUCGCUGAGGUCGGCGGCUUACCAACUGGGAACUAUUGUUUAAUAGUUCUCACGCUCUCUUUGUUGUUAUUGUGUUACAGAGCUAUCCAUUACGGGAGAGGCUAGGGAUCGCGGCAAGGGAGUCGCGUCUAGCUAGACAUAGCUUGGAGCCCCGCUAGGUAAUCCCCUCGCUGCUUCGAUUUUGUCGACGAGGGUGGUGUGUACCCUGUAUAGAGAGACUACCACUUGUAUUUUGGGCUGUUUAGUGAUUUUGGGUUAUACAUAUGUUGUUAGAGCGUUGUACUAUAUAGUCUUGUGUUUUUACUUUCUGUUGAUCUUAGUGGAGUUUUAUACUACUUAUUCUCUAGCUGCUAGAACUUUCUGUAUAUUCUAUGCUCUGAUAUCAUGUUAGAUUAUUCUACCGAUUAUCUCUUUUCUGACAUGAUUUUAGUAGACGCCUUGUAUGCUGUAGGUAUAUGGCGGGUCUGUACAUGUAUCGGAUAUGCUUCCGCUGAUUCCCAGGCGUGACAAAACCCUUGUUCAUGCUAGUUUUGAUCCGAAUCAAAUCCAAAGCAUCUCAUGCUCAUCCAAAAGCUUUUAAAUAGUAUCAAUAGUAAUUUAUACCGGAACUUCACUAAUUUGCAAAAGUUCAUUAUGCUAUACUUUGGCCCAAAUCUUAGGUUCUGACCAAUUUAUUUUCAUGACAUUUUAGUAAUCUGUAGACUUUGGCUCCUGACAUUUAAGUAAUCUGUAGACUUUGGCUGAAAUCUCAGGUCCUUUAGAUUCCUUUCAAGUCGAGAGUCCAUCGAACCUGUCUGCUCAAGUUCGGCCAGAGCUAGGUGGCCGAUUACAUCUCUCCGACAUUUCAGUCGUCUGCUGACUUUGACUGAAAUCUUUGAUCCCUAUAGUUCCUUUCAACCAAAAGUGAACUAGAUCCAGUCCAUCCAAGUUUGGCCUGAGGUAAACAGCCGAAUAUAGCGUGCUUUCAUAGAGGUCAAGUCACAACCAAGAACCCAAGCCGAAAGCUUCCAUUUUCUUCCAUUGUAUUCAUUUUCUUUGAAUCAAUAAUAACAUUUUUUUCGGCUUCUCUUUGGCAAACAUGCUUAUUUAAUUUAUGUAAAAUUUUUGAGUAUUUGAUGGUAACUCUUUAACCCAACAACCUCCAAUUAACCUAAAGUGUUCGGAUUUAAGUAUUUUCAUUAGUGAUUUAGACUAAGGACACACUUGUUACAGGUUUAAAGUAGGUAAAAUAUUAAUCCUAUAAAAUUUUUACUCUAUAUUAAACUGUGUUUGGUUCGUUGGCGUUAACUUUUAAGAGAGAUAAAAAUUUCACCUUCCUUUAAUCUUCAACAAUCAAAAUUUGUUUUUUUUUGUUUGAGAGAUUAGGUAGCACGCUACCCGCUUUGUUUAUUUCAUUUAAAAAUAAACUUAGCUAGAAAUAUAAAUCAAUUAGGGUUCGAACUUGGGACCUCCGGUACCAACCACCAAGCCCUUUUCCACUUGCUCCAGGGGCGGUCGGUAACAAUUCAAAUUUGUUAAUGUGCAUGGACUAGGGUAAAAGAAGGUAAAUGAUAUAAUAUAUGAAAAAGUGAUAAAAUUUUGAUCCUCCUUAUAUCAUUUUCUUCACUUUCUAUUUUCACUUCCUCUCUUAAUUUCUCUCAGCUUACUUUUCUCUUUUUAUUUUCUCUCUUUAUUUUCUCUCUCCUUAAUUUGUGGCUCUUUAUUUUCUCUCUCUAAAUUCUCUCUCUUCACUCUCUCCUUAAUUUCUCUCUCUUAAUUUCUCUCAUCACUUUCUCUCUCUUUACUUUUCUCUUUACUUUCUCUCUCCUUUAUUUCUCUCUCUUCAAUUUCUCUCUUUCAUUUUCUCUUUCUUUAUUUCUCUCUCUUUACUUACUCUUUUAUCUUCUCUCUAUACUUUCUCUCUUAUUUUCUCUCACUUAUUUUCUCUCUUCUCACCUUCUCUCUCCUCAUCCCUUCUCUCUUAUCACUUUCUUUCUCAUUAUUUUUUCUUGCUUUACUUUCUCUCUCAUUUUUCUCAUUAUUUUAUCUCUCUUCAGUUUCUCUCUUUUCAUUAAUUAGUUGCUCAUUUUUUUUCUCUUCUCACUUCCUUUUCUUUACUUUUUAUGUCCCUAUUUUCCCUCCCUCACUCUAUCUCUCUUUACCUUCUUUCUCACCUUUCUAUCUUUUAUUUCUAUCCCCUCUUUUGUUUAUUCUCACUUUCUCUCUUUCUUCACUUUCAUUCAUGAAAGACUCAAAUGUCGUUACAGAAAAAAAAAAGAAAUAACCGAAUGGGGCAGUAAACGGGUAGGUGGAGCUCCUGCACCGAUCCGCCCUGAAUGGGGCAGCAAACGAGAAGAAAUAAAGGAAUUUGGGACAAAAAGCGACAGAUUUAGGGCAAGAAACAAAAAAUUUUUGACCCACUCCAAAUUCGCCCCGAAUCCGCUCCACCAUGAUCCGCCCCGAAUCCGCCCCACAUUGAUCCGCUCCGAAUCCGCCCAAAAAAUUAUUUAUAUUUUAAGAAAAUAUUCCUAAAAUAUAAUAUAUUUAUAAAAAAGUCCAAAAUACAAAUAAAUUGGUGCUCUCAUUCCUCAUGUAUUUGAAAUUUUUGAGUUUUGCUUCGAAUUGUGAUUGAUAUUUUUUAUUUUUAUAAUUGAUAUUGUUAAGUUUAUAUAUAACUUAAUAAUAUUAGUUAUUAAUAUUAAAAAAUUAUUAAUUUAUAUUUUACAAAAUAUUAAUAAUAUUAUAAUUUUUUAAAAAAAUAUUAAUUGGCAGGACGGACUUGGGGCAUCGUCAGGAGAUGGGUUAUGAGGAGGAAUGGAUUAUGGGAUAUAUUUUUUUAACCCGUCACGGAUUCAGUGCAAGAAGCGAGGCGGAAUUUUGGUAGUUGGUGCGGGAGAUGGGGCGGGG
This 50897-nucleotide long non-coding RNA is filed under the name Ananas comosus (pineapple). RNAcentral's name for it is "long non-coding RNA (ACOM_LNC026894)". The record is from RNAcentral. Lineage: Eukaryota; Viridiplantae; Streptophyta; Magnoliopsida; Poales; Bromeliaceae.